RNAcentral lists this long non-coding RNA (58656 nucleotides) under Hordeum vulgare. RNAcentral describes it as "long non-coding RNA (HVUL_LNC014234)". The record is from RNAcentral. Lineage: Eukaryota; Viridiplantae; Streptophyta; Magnoliopsida; Poales; Poaceae.
GUACGGCAUUCCGUGACGGAAAUGCAGACGCCACUGCUGCCUGCAGCCCUGCAGGAGAGAAGCAGUACGACUGAAGCUUGUGAGCCAUGACACAGGCCAACGUGGCCGAAAGCCUGAGCCACGCCCACGCUCUCUCUCUCUCUCUCUCUCGUUCUGCCGAGCGUAAAAACUCCGGUGCAGAGCCACUCUACCAUGUGAGGAGCUCAGCUCCGCUCUGGAGCAGCGUGGAAGGGCCUCCUAUAAAACCCAUUUCCCUUCCACCGUCGCUGCACACAGACUGCACUGCGCCACCACCAUAUCCGAAAUAGCUCAGCUCAGCCUCAGCUGCACUUCCCACCGAGCUCGGCUGGACUGGUGACACGGUUACACACGCCAUGGCUCCCCUGCUCUUCAAGGACAUGAGGAGCCUCUCGUGCUCGUCGCCGGCGUCAACCGCCAUAUGCCCCAGCCUGGAGCGGCAGCCCAUCUUCCGCCCGCAGAAGCCCGGCGCCAGCCCGCUCUUCCAGGUGGUUCCCGCCGAGCCCAGAGCCCACAGGCAGGACGGCAAGAAAGGGCACCACCACCACCACCGGCCUGGCGCUGCCAAGGGCGACCUCGUCAGCCCGGCCGGCUCCUCCAGGUUCCUGCUCAGCGGGUGCGCCGCCGUCGACGAGAUCCAGGAGGUGGCCACGGCGCCCCCGGCUGCUGCCCCCGGUGGUGAUGUCAGAAGGGAGGAGCCGGCUGCUGCUGCUGAUGUGAAGAGCACGGACUCUACGCAGGAGCAGGUGAGGAUUACACUGCAGUUCUGUUGUGAAUCAUUGCUCAUUUUUUUGCCAUACUACUCGUGUUCUGAAGAUUUGAUACCACUCGUCUUCAUACCUCAAUCAAAGGAAAAAGAAAGACAGAGGAAAAUACUGAGUAGGUGGCGAUGAUGCUAUCGUCAGUAAUCAUAUCAGUGUUAGCUUCAGAGAAUAAUACAGUGCUUAAUUUUAUUCGGCGAUUUGAUUGAGGUAUCUGAACUUUUAAGCCAAAGAUGCGGAAAUACAAUGAUGACAAGUAGUACAUGCAGUAUCUUUUGUGUGGGAAUGAUUGGUUAAUUUGUUGGACACGUAUUCCGAAACAGAUUGCUUCGUUUUACACCGUAAUGAGUAGUUGAAAGCGUGGUUGCUCUGAAGUGAUUAAGCACUCUCCUAAAUUAGUUUGGCGGUCAUGGUUGCAGGUGGUGGUGCUGAAGGUGUCCCUGCACUGCAAGGCGUGCGCCGGCAAGGUGAAGAAGCACCUCGCCAAGAUGGAAGGUGAGUCGGCACCAACAUCUCUGAAACUUUUCCUUCGGAGUUCGGUAAAAUUGCAGAUACAGAUAACCAAGCCGCGCCUGUUUCUGAAGGUGUUCGGACGUUCAGCAUCGACUUCGCGGCGAAGAAGGUGACGGUGGUGGGGGCCGUGACACCGCUCGGCGUGCUCGCCAGCGUCUCCAAGGUCAAGAACGCGCAGAUCUGGGAGGCGGCGCCGGCGCCGCCGCCGCAGCCCGCCAUGGCCGCCUAGCUCGCCGAAUAGGCCGACCGGGCGGACCAAGAAGAAGCCUAGGAUUCCGACGGGUCCUGGUCCAUGGUAGGUAGAGGUAGCCGUAUGUGUACUACUACGUGAGCAUGUCAGCACGGACGUCAGUACUCGGUGGGGGGGCCGGCAGGCAGCCGCUGACGGAGGCCAGGCCGUGCCGGCCGGCCGGCACGCUGGACCAGCGGCGAGCGGACGUGGCGCUGUGCGUGACACGGGUGCACAUGCAUGUCGUUCGUCGUGGGGCGCGGCGCUCCCCCAACGGGCAGAAGCUGCCGUUGGUGCUGUGGAUCGGUGUUGGUGUUGGUCUCGUGAUGUUUUUGUUUGGUUGUGUUCGGCGCGUGGUGUUUCUUCUCUUGUCAUCAGACUCGGACCGUGCGUGUGUGGCUCUGUUCGUUUCAUCUUCUCUGCUGUGUUUUUUUUUUUUUGCGGGAAUGCUGUGAUAUAUUUUCAAAAUAAGUGACUUAAAAAUAACUUUAUUUUAAGUUAUUUAUUUAUUUUGGGACGGAGGAAGUAACAUGCAUGAGCGUUCCAUGUGCAGACGUGCUGCUGCAUUACAAAUUGUGCACAGACGUACGCGUGCUUUUGUUGCAGUGAUGCCCAACGCAAAUCUUGAUGCUCUUUUACAUUGCAGAAAAGCUAGGCGACCCAGCUUGCGUAUGCAUGAAGAAAAGUUAAGUCAAUUAUUUUGAUGAAAUACUAUAUCUCUAUCCCAUAUGAGGGCAUCUUCAAUGCUGACAUGUAACUAUCUCCGUUAUAUAUUCAUUUUUUUGUCUUCCCCCAGAUAUGAUGUGGAUGGGAGUUAUUGAACGCUAAUUACAAAAUAUCCUGUUUAAAGAAGAAACAAUAGGUGGGUGCUAUUUGUAAAGUGCGUUGAAAAAAAAUUCAAAAAGAAAAGAUGCAGUACAGUAGUGAUAAGUAUUUUUUUUCAAUGAAAAUCAAGGUUAUCGAAGCAAUAGGAGAAUCACACAAAUACCCGUCUUCAGCACCUAGACAACAAAAUAGCAAACACUUGCACCCAAGCAGAAAAAAUGGUUGUCAAGCCACUUGAUCUCGUUAUUUGCAAGUGAUAAGUAGUGAUCGAUAGAUAAUAUAAAUAUAAAGUAAAAUAACAAUAGUAACAGAGCAGCAAUAUUUUUAAUGUUUUGUAAUAUGAUUUAUGAAGAUACGGGGGUCAUAGUUUUCGCUAGAGGCUUUUCUCUCGAAGAAAGCUUACGGUAGGUAAACAAAUUACUCUUAGAAAAUUAUUAAAAAAGCGUAUAAUAAUGUAAUAUUUAUUAACGACAAUGAUCACAUAUGUAGGCAUCACGUUCAUAAACAAACGAGUAUGACUACGCCAACCAUGAUCUCUAGAUCGUUAACGUUUCCGGUCUACAAGGGUAUGCGAACACCUCUCCCUUUCGUUGCUAGCAUCUCCAUGGAUGUUCCGUAGGAAUAUUUGUUGUUUUUCAUGCAAUGUUUCCCAACAUAAGUUUGUCCUCGAGUUCAUAGGUUCACCAGUAUCAUCUCUUCAAACAAGAACGACAUGAUAAUAUAAGGAUAGGUAUGUGUAAUGAGCAAUCAAACAACUAAUGACAAAUAAAAUCAUUCCUUGUGGUGAUAUUAUGUGGGAACUAUGUUGAUGAAUGCAUAGAUCGAAAUCCAUCUACAUCUAUGGCCAAUACUCGACCUAAGAUGUCCUCAACCCAUGUGAUUUCACCCUGACUAUUAUGUAACAAAACAUAAUAUUGUAUUAAGUAACAAAACAUAGCAUUGCAUUAAGUAAGAUGUCAUAGAAUUGAUAAUAUUCCCCACACGUUGUGUUCAUCACUUGGACAAUGAGUCAAAUGCAUUUUUUACCUUAAGUGAAUCUACUCCAUAUAGUGCAUAACACUAGCUCUAUUUAUUUUGCAUCUAAAUUGACCAAUGAUUAGAAUAAUAUAUUAAAGAGCAAUAUACAUCUUUAAAUCACAAAAUGUAAUAUGUAUAAUAUAAUCAUAAAGCAAUAAUUCAUCACAAACAUAAAGAUUCACCAUGAUUUACAUCGAAUAGAUCAUAAUCAUGUACAAAAACUUAAAGAUUCACCAUGGGUUACAUCGAAUAGAUCAUAAUCAUCACAAACAUAAAGAUUCACCAUGGGUUACAUCGAAUAGAUCAUAAUCAUCACAAACAUAAAGAUUCACCAUGGGUUACGUCGAAUAUAUUAAAGUUCAGUACAUAAAGAUCAAUGUACUAAAGCAUGGGGGAGAAGGUGCUUCAUAGACAUUGCCAUGAACCCGUAAUCUUGAGGAUGGACAAUUCACACCUCGUGAUGGAGUAGUGGAGUUUGACAUUGAUCUAGCACGCGAUGAUUCCUCCUACGACAUAGUACCGAAGCAUGGCUAGUGAUCUAUUUUCUUCUUGGAUCGCGAUAUGGAAAUGACCAAAUAUUGCACGGUAGUUUAGAGGUGAGUUUCCGCAAAAGUACCCUUCUGAGCUCGAGCUCAAAGUAGAAUUUUUGGAGCAUCAAUAUUAUUUUUAUUUGUCACGCCUUCCACGAAUGUGAUCACAUGUUGAAAAUUUGCAAGAACUUAGAAAAAUGUCAAAGUUUAUCAUAAUUUUUUUACUGGUCAUCCGAGAUCAUUUCAGCUCAAGUUCUGAUACUCCUCGUCCCAAGUUUUCCGGUAUUUACAAGCUUGUGGACUAAAACCUCUUAGAGAGGAUCCAAGUAGGUCUCACACACACCAAGGGCGUGCUCUAUCCCUAGGUUGCUAGACCGCAUGAGAACCUAUGCCACCUGUCCUAGGCGGGCCCUUCGUCAUAAGUCCUCUUCUCACGUACAACUUUAUUCUAAAUUUUCUCAGUUUUUUCCUAUUUACAAUAUAUACCUAUUGGUCAUGAAAGCACAAAUUAUUCAAAUAUUUACUCAUCUUCGAAGACUUUAUUAAUAUGUUAGUACAAAUCAAUAAUAAAAAUAAACAAAUUUAAUAAGAACGUGACAUGAAAACUACAAAAUGUAUAGAAAUUUUAACAUGUAAUAUACAUCCGCAACAUAUCUAUAACUUUUGAAGUUUUCCUGCUUAUUUCUCAUCAAUAUUUAAUAUUUCAUUGGAUUGACCUAAUUAAAAGCGCUUUGGAUAAAAGUGACAUUCAUUCAAUCAACAUUGAGCUGAUACAUCCACACAAAUUUAAUAGCUAGAGGCAUAAUUGAAUGUUGUAUGUUUGUGGACAAAUUUAUCUUUUCGUACUAUAUAAAACCUUCCUGAACUCAAAAAUAUCCAAGCAAAUGAGCAUUCAUAACUUUUUAGAGUACAUUUUAUUUUCAUCUUACUGCAAUACUCUCUCUGUUUGAUAAUAUAGUGCAUAAUUCUUACAUAAACAAUGCAAAAUGUACAAUAUAGAAUUAUAUAUCUUAUAAUGUAUCUGAUGAUAUUUAUUCGAUAUUGUAUAUGUAGAUACCUAUCGCUAUAAACUUGGCAAAAGUUUAUGAAGUUUGACCUCUGAAAAAAUAUAGCACUAUUUCUUUUUGAAGUAGUAGAGUAUAAUACUGUGUGUGAAAAUGUCUCUAAUCGUCAUUUCUCCUCCUGUAUAAAAAUUUGUAUUGCGGUUCUAUUUUAACAACAGUUCAUAGAGGGGCAAAACGGUAAAGUUGUAAAUUUAGUAAAUCAGAAAGCUUGGGAGUUUUGAGUUCCUUUGUGUUGGUGUUAACUAAGACCUUGAAUUUGUCACAGAAGCCAAAAAUAAUUGGUGCUAAAAGUCAAAAUGCAUCACUGUCAAAAGAGAGAGAGAGAGAGAAAACAGAGCGUCACGAUGAUAUAAUUGGUCGGCUUGAGAAGGGGUAAUACCAUAUCUAAUGGCUACCCCAAAAAACUACCCUAAUAACCACUUAUUGGGGUGGCCAAGAAAAAUUCCCUGAUAACCACUUCUUGGUGCUCCCCAACAAGGCUCAUGAAAAUGAUCUUGCAUUCUUGCUCUAUCUUCUUCGAAUUCACUUGUGCGCAAUGACUCUCAACUUAUCUUCUUCAAUUGUCGCAUCAAACCACCUUGACUUCUUCUCUUGUUUUUUGCCAUCUCCAACUAUUUUGUGUUCAUUUUAUCUCUUCGACUAUUAUCUUGGACACAAUGGCAUCUUGUUGAUUUUUUUUCUUAUCUUUCUCACCUCUUCGACCUGAUGGCAUGCUGACUUUGGCAGUCGCCAUCGAGCUGGGAGUACAGUUUGGGACUUCAUUAGCGUCAUCACCGUCAUCAUCAUUAUAGUCAAAUUUUGGAGUUUAUGAUGGUUUAGCCUUCUUAUGAGGUUGUAAUCUUUCAUUAUUCCCAUCUUUCCCCUUCUCAUAUUUUUGGAGCAACACCUGACAAUGGAUCAUGUAAAAUCACGCUCCUUUUGGAUGUCUAUGUUUGUAAAACUCAUUCAUGUAGUUGAGAUGUCAAGUUAAACAAAUCACUAGGAAGUUGGAUUCAAACAUUUCAUAGGAAAAUUUUCACAAAGGAACACAGUAAGAACAAAAGUACUCACCGGCAUAUCAUCUGCCAUUGCACAAGGCUUGGCACGCUCCACUUGGGACACACAACCUUCCCACCAAUUGGGACAUACCAAAGGUGUGCACCAUAUGUGAUUAAGUGAAUUUACUAACUAGUCGGAGGAAACCGGCACAUUGCGAUAAAGUGCUCUACAAUGCACUUCCAAUAUGUCUUCAACGUUUUGAUCGUAAUCAAUGCUCACUCUCCCAUGAUACUACCUCAUUUCCGGUUUGCAAGGCUUGCGUGUAUCUCUAGGUUGACAAAUAGACCAUCAUAAUACAAGUUAUAUAUCAUAAAAAAUAUGUCAUUGGAAAUUUCAAACCGUCUACUUUCUAAUGGUAUAACUUUUAGACUAUACAACUCAUCUUAUCUUGGUCAAAUUAUAAAUCUAGAGAUAGGUGCAAGCCUUAUAAUCUGGAAAGGAGGUAGUAUGACAAAUGCAAUAUCCUCGUGCGUGGAAUAGUUUCUUGACCUUGCCCAUUUCUUUAGUUUUGUAGGGGCAACCUGAAUGACUACUCAUCAACCUAAUUAGGCGGAUUAGACAAAGAAAUAUCAUCUAUGCCUACCGAUUUGUUUAUCAAGUUGAGAUAUGAUUGUUGGGUACACAUUCAAAAAUAUAAAACUAAUGAGCAUUGCCAUGUAAAAGUUUGCAUCGAAUUUUAUUCAUAUAGCCGCAACAAAAAAGAUAAACGAGGAAAUAUGCUUCCUUGCAUUUUGUCGAACAACUCAUUUCUGUUGUCCAUGUCGAAGUCGCUGGUGGCCUUAGACAAGGUGGGGAAGACCAGUGGUGUCGCCAUGAAGAAAGCCAACAGUGUCACCAUGAAGGAGCCGGUUGCGGCUGCCAUCGCCUUCUUCGUCAAUGUUGUGCGGCACCUCCCUCCCCUUCCACAACGCCGAUGGCGCAAUGCACGUGCCGGGCGACGCACCUAGGAUGGAGCGGUGUCGCCAGUUGAGGGCAAAGGAGACGGUAAGGUGCAGGGGUGGGGCCGCAUGCGGGACAGAGGGGAUCAUCCCACUAAUGGAAAACGGGCCUUUGGCCGGGACCAUUUAGUCUCGGCCUGCCUCUGGGCCGGGACUAAAAGCCCGGCCACGUCGCCCCAAUUCUCAAUGCCUCCCUCGAGGCUUUAGUCCCGACCCGUAAGGAGCCUUUAGUCCCGGUUCGUGUCCCAAACCGGGACUAAAGGGCUACGCGGUGGGCAGUGGUGGCACAACCGUUCGUAUCCCCCUUUAGUCCCGGUUGGUGGCUCAACCCGGGACUAAAGGACUAACACGUGGCCUGCCGUAGUGGUGGCGACCGUUGGUAUACCUCUUUAGUCCCGGUUGGUGGCUCAACCCGGGACUAAAGACCCAAACGGUUUGCAUCCCGCGUCGUUUUGGGCGAUGAAAAGCACGAACCGAAGCGUACAGUCGCCAUUUCUCUGUUUCUUCUUCUCUCUCGCUCUCCCUCUCUGUUCUUCUCCUCUCUUCUUCCCUUCUCUUCUUCCACCAUGCCAACUAGCUUUCGUAAGGUGCUCGCACAUGGCACGACCAUGCUCGAUGUCGUGUACACGAACCUGAGCAGGGAGGUGCCAUUUUUUCUUCAACAGUUGAAGGAAAAAUGGUUUGACAACGCAGUGGAUCAUGAGAAGUUCUUGGGGCUUGAUCUGGAGUACAUGGCCGAUCAACGCGGUGUUGCCGUCAUCCAACUAUGCUUCGCACGCCAUGUCUUGAUCUUCCAAUGGGCGAGGUAAGUUUUGAGGCUUUCUUUGAUCCAAGAUAAUGACAUUGUAAGUUUAUUUGUUUCAACCAUAGUCGGUUCCCUUCAAAUAGUUGUAGUGAAACAAUUUUGAUUAGUUGAAGGGGAGCACAAUCUAAUUGGAAUAGUGUUCCAUAAUCUGAAAAGUCGCAUUAGAAUCAACUAGUGUUUAAUAUGUUCCAUUGGAAUCAUAGUUGGUUCCCUUCAAAUAGUUGUAGUGAAACAAUUUUGAUUAGUUGAAGGGGAGCACAAUCUAAUUGGAAUAGUGUUCCAUAAUCUGAAAAAUCGUAUUAGAAUCAACUAGUGUUUAAUAUGUUCCAUUGGAAUCAUAGUUGGUUCCCUUCAAAUAGUUGUAGUGAAACAAUUUUGAUUAGUUGAAGGGGAACACAAUCUGAUUGGAAUAGUGUUCCAUAAUCUGAAAAAUCGUAUUAGAAUCAACUAGUGUUUAAUAUGUUUCAUUGGAAUCAUAGUUGGUUCGCUUCAAAUAGUUGUAGUGAAACAAUUUUGAUUAGUUGAAGGGAACACAAUCUGAUUGGAAUAGUGUUCCACAAUCGGAAAAAUCUGAUUGGUUCAAUAUGUUCCAUUGAAAUCAUAGUUGUAGUGAUACAAUUUUAUGCGGUGUCCUUUGAUCCAAGGUUAUGAAAAUUGAAUAUAGCUAGUGAUCUCUCUAGGUUCCAUUGGAUAGCAAUAUGAUAUGUCAUAGUCAUGAAAAUUGCAUAUAGCUAGUGAUCUCUCUAGGUUCCAUUGGAUAGCUAUAGUGAUCUCUCUAGGUUCCAUUGCAUAUGUUCUAUUUGAAUCCUAAAGAUAAUUUUCUCUUUAGUUGUAGUGAAACAUGUUUCCUUAUUGCAGCAGUAUGUAACAUUUGUUCCAUUUUAAUUUGUUUCUGUUGCAGGAGUGACAAGCAUUGUCCAGAACUCAUGGACUUCCUUCGCAGCGGCAUCACUUUUGCUUCCGUUGACAUAAGGAACGACAAGCUGAAGAUGAGGCACAGCUUCGGUAUUGAGAUACCAGCUGGUUGCCUCGUUGAUCUCCAAACGAUAUUCGGGCUUCGACAUGACAGGACUUCGAUGGCUCAUAUGGCAGUUGCCUUGAUCGACGAUUCAUAUGCUGAUAUGAAGACCAGUUUCCCAAAGUCUCAGCACAAACUUUGGGAGAAGGGCCCACUUGAUGAUAUCAACAUUGAGUAUGCAGCAAAAGAUGCAUACGUUUCAUACGAGUUGUACCGCAAGAUCGUGCUGAGUGUCCCACGGGAGUAGUACGGUCGCUCCGAAGAAAUCCAUAUCGACUUUGAUGAACUCUUCCAGAUGUACAAUGGCGACGCCCUCGACAAAUCGCUUAUGAGUUGCUAUUGUCUGUAAGUUUUUCAAUUCGUUGUCUACAUAUAACUUGUUUAGUUAUUUCAAUCCAUUGUCUAUAUAUAACUUGUACUCUGUUAUGCAGAAUGAAGAUUCUGGAUUGUAAAAGUAAGAUCAUCCUAAAUAUUGGGUUUAUUGACCCAGAUAAAAUACAUAUAGCGUCGCUAACUGACAAACCCAAGGAGACGGAGGAAAACCUUCUAAGGUUUCUAAUAGAUCAAAAUUUCUGUGACCACAUACUGUUUCCAUACAACUUCAGGUGAGGGUCUUUACUCUGUUGUGUCCAUUCACUUAUAAGUGUAAUUGAUAAGUUACUGAUAUAUAUAUAUAUAURUAUAUAUAUAUAUAUAUAUAUAUAUAUAUAUAUAUAUAUAUAUAUAUAUAUAUAUAUACAUACAUACAUACAUAUGCAGCUUCCAUUGGAUUCUGUUGGACAUUCAAAUUGAUAAGGGAAGAGUUGAUGCCUUCGAUCCAUUAUCUAGACCCUUGGAACAGUUCCAAAGCCUGCAGGACAUGCUCAUUCGAUGAUUUUCUGAUAUAUCAAUUAAUGAAAACUUAGCAAAUCAUUAUCCUUGUCGGGCAGGGUUUGAAAGCGGUUCAAGUGCGUGACUCCGGGUAACUUUCCUGAGAAGCUGACCUUUAGCCACGGGUAAUUAUGAUAUACUUCUAUUAAUUUUCAAUACAUUUAUGAUGCUAGAUUAUUAUUUUGAUUAUAUAUAUUCUAUUCUCGUAAAGUGCGACCAGCAGCCACGGGGAACGCAUCUAUGCGGAUACUAUGUUUGCGAGACCAUUCGCACGUUUACCUCUGAGUUCAAGGAUCACAGAUUCAACGUAAGCAAUGAACAUUCACACCUCUAUUUUUACCCGUCAUUCUUUGUUAUCAUGAUUGAUAUUCAUAUUCAUCUCCUCUUCUUAUAUAGCACACGGCCAUGAGGACGAAGGUCCUACCAGAGCAACGCGCAAUUGCUGUUGCAGAGGAGCUUGCGGGAUUUCUGAGGACCGAAGCUAUAGAAGACAAAGGACGAUUUAGUGUAGCUAAGGGCCAUUACUGAUGUUCGUCCAUGUAAUCGAAUAGACGGGUAACUUUCCUGAGAAGCUGACCUUUAGCCACGGGUAAUUAUGAUAUACUUCUAUUAAUUUUCAAUACAUUUAUGAUGCUAGAUUAUUAUUUUGAUUAUAUAUAUUCUAUUCUCGUAAAGUGCGACCAGCAGCCACGGGGAACGCAUCUAUGCGGAUACUAUGUUUGCGAGACCAUUCGCACGUUUACCUCUGAGUUCAAGGAUCACAGAUUCGACGUAAGCAAUGAACAUUCACACCUCUAUUUUUACCCGUCAUUCUUUGUUAUCAUGAUUGAUAUUCAUAUUCAUCUCCUCUUCUUAUAUAGCACACGGCCAUGAGGACGAAGGUCCUACCAGAGCAACGCGCGAUUGCUGUUGCAGAGGAGCUUGCGGGAUUUCUGAGGACCGAAGCUAUAGAAGACAAAGGACGAUUUAGUGUAGCUAAGGGCCAUUACUGAUGUUCGUCCAUGUAAUCGAAUAGACGGGCUCUAGUCCCGAUAAUUCAGAUCUCCAUAUAAUUGUAUAUAUAUGAUCGCUUGUAAGAUAAGUUAAUCUUAUAUAUAUAUAUAUAUGCAUAAUUAUUUCUAUUUAAAUUAUAUGAAAACUAAUUCCCGAACACCAAACGAGGCAUCACGUUAAUCUCCCGAACACCUAAACCCUAAAAUCCUAAAAACCAAAAAUAAUUUCAUUCAAAAAAAAACCCAAAAACCAGCAAAAUCUGAAAAUCUUUAGUCCCGGUCCGUGUAACGAACCGGGACUAAAGGGCCUGCCCCUGGGACGCUACGAGGCGCCCACGUGGAGCACCUUUAGUCCCGGCUUGUAAGAGGGCCGGGACGAAAGGUUAGGCCUUUAGUCCCGCCCCUUUAGUCCCGGUUGAUGAACUGGGACUAAAGCCCCUUACGGCCCGGGGCUAAAGGCCUCGUCUCCACUAGUGUCCCUCCACCAAUGACUAUGCAGUGGUGGGGCCCGAUGCCUCCAUCAAUGGCGGCGGGCGGAUUUCGGGUGCGUGAAAUGGGAGGCCGCAUAAAAUGGGGGGAUGGGGCAAAACGAGCAGGUGCUGACGUUGCAUGUACUGAGGAGGGUAUUGGGAGAGAGCCAACUCCUCCUCCAUACAGGGGGAGUUGGGUUUUUUGUUUUUGUGAUCACCCAAAAUGUUGAAAAAAUGGGAUUUGUCGGGCAUUGUUUUUUAGUCCAACUCCUUCAAUACCAGAAGAUUAUUAGGAAAAAAAAGCUGCCGGAGAUGCUUAAAAAAGAUCAUCGAAUGUGAAAUAAUUGCCCGGACAAAAAAAAGUGAAAUAGUUGUCCCAAAUUAAUACCAUGAGAAGAGUGUGACUUGUUCCAACAACCAACAAGACGGUAAACACACCAUAUUUUUUUAAAGACAGUCACACACCACCAAUUGCUAUCGACAACAACGCAUCCAAGUACGCACGCUUUUGAGAAGCUCUUGUGGUGGAGUGGUGGACAACACAAAUGUUGCUCAUCUUCUAUAAGAAUAAGAUAAGGGGAGUUUUCUCUCUGUUUUCAUUUUUUUAAGUACACACGUUUACAGAGUACAGCUAGACAGAAUUACGUCCUCAUUUAUUGGUACAAACGUAAGGAUGAGCCCGUCUAAGCUAGCCAAUCCUAGGAGCUUUGGUGACCUUGUCGCUGGAGUCGACGAACACCCUGACUCGGCCGGUGUUGUAAUCCAUGGUGACGAAGGAGUCGGCCGGAACGACGUGGACGCUGGCGUCCGGCUUGUUCUCUACGAUCUUCUUCUUGGCCUCCUCCGACGACAGGCCCACCACCUCCGGCCACGAGUUCUUCUCGGCGCCGACGCCGGCCGUCACUCCCCCGGACUCCAUCGCCUAUUUGCAACACAAGCGCUCAAGACUUACGAACGGUUAGAGUGACAAAGAACGAUCGGAGUGGCAAGAGAGGAAGCUGAGAUUGCUAACCUGUUGGCUUGACCAGUGAGUGUACGUAGUGGUAAGGUGGAUGCCGAUGGUGCGUGUGUGGUUGUGCCUUCUGUGUUUGGUAUUUGUAGGCCUGUGGCAGCUGCGUGGGAAAAGAGGAUGAGGACAGGUUUUGUUUUCUUAGUUUUGGGUAGCUCCGAUGGGGUGUUGGAGGCAAGGGUCUCGACAGUCAACAGAUGGCAGCUCGAUGCAGUUUGUCUUCGAAAAUUCAGUGCAACACAAGAAGACUGAAUUAAUUAAGCUACCGUUUGGCCGGCAGGCCGGCCAGCCAUUGAAGAGUGUUAGAGCAUCUAUAACUGGACCCAUAUCCGUUUCAAACGUGUUUGUAUUUUUUCGAUCACUGCAUGAAUGCAAAAUUACAACCCAAUCAAAGUAAAUUCAACCUAGCCGUCCGGACUGAUUGGCACCUGACUACACAUAUCCAGAUCACAUAUGAGACGAGAUAGGGACGUCCAAACGCGUCCGUCACAUAGGACGGACCACAAGGGCCCGUGCUAAACCGCAUAUCUCCGUACCCUCCUUUUUGCUCGAUGUCGGUGUCAAAACCGGUAGAUCUCGGAUAAGGGGUGUCGAACUGUGAACCUUGAAUCGAUGGGUUGUAGGAAGAAGGGGGAGACAAUGGUUUAUCCAGGUUUGGGCCCUUCUAUGAAGGUAAUACCCUACGUCCUGCUUGAUUAUAUUGAUGAAGAUGAUUACAAAGUAGAUCUACCUCGAGAUCGUAUAUGCUAAACCCUAGAAGAUUUAGCCUCUUCUACACGGAUAGGCACCCUGGUUUAUAUAGACACCAGGGUCCCUAGGGUUUACAAGUUACCGACUAUGAUCGGGAAUAGAUGAGCCAACCUUUCUUACUAAGCUUGAAGCACACGCCAAUCUUCGGGAUAUUCCUUCCAGAGUAGAGGUCGUCAUCAGGCCCGGUCUUCUUCAGCACGGCCCAAUGGGCCCACCCAGUAUUGACUAACGGGACGCCCGAGGACCCUAGAAUCCCGGACUCCCUCAGUAGCCCCUGAACUAAGCCUCAACGUCGGUGUGUUUAGUCUUUGGCUGCCCCUAAGUGGGCUGGUGCGCCUCCACAACCAUCCCAAGGCGCAACAAGGGGUGGAAGGGGCAAACCCUAGGCGUGGGAGGCCACCUUGGGCCUCAAGGCCCAACCCUAGGGCGCCUCCACCACCUUGGCGGCCGCCCCUAAGCCAUCUAGGGCUGCCGCACCCUUAGGAUGGGAAACCCUAAGGGUGGAUGAUGACCCACAAGUAUAGGAGAUCAAUUGUAGUCCUUUCAAUAAGUGAGAGUGUCGAACCCAACGAGGAGCAGAAGGAUCUGACAAGUGGUUUUCAGCAAGGUAAAAUCUGCAGGCACUGAAAUUGUCGGUAACAAGUGAUUGUGUGGUGAGAUGAUUCGUAGCAAGCAAUAAGUAACAAAAGUAGCAACGGUGCAGCAAAGUGGCCCAAUCCCUUUUGUAGCAAGGGACAAGCCUGGACAAAGUCUUAUAGGAGGAAAAACGCUCCCGAGGACACAUGGGAAUUUCUGUCAUGCUAGUCUUCAUCAUGUUCAUAUGAUUCACGUUCGUUACUUUGAUAGUUUGAUAUGUGGGUGGACCGGCGCUUGGGUACUGCCCUUACUUGGACAAGCAUCCCACUUAUGAUUAACCCCUCUCGCAAGCAUCCGCAACUACGAAAGAAGAAUUAAGACAAAGUCUAACCAUAAUAUUAAACAAGUGGAUCCAAAUCAGCCCCUUACGAAGCAAUGCAUAAACUAGGGUUUAAGCUUCUGUCACUCUAGCAACCCAUCAUCUACUUACUACUUCCCAAUGCCUUCCUCUAUGCCCAAAUAAUGGUGAAGUGUUAUGUAGUCGACGUUCACAUAACACCACUAGAGGAAAAACAACAUACAACAUAUCAAAAUACCGAACGAAUACCAAAUUCACAUGACUACUAUUAGCAUGACUUAUCCCAUGUCCUCAGGAACCAAAGUAACUACUCACAAAGCAUAAUCAUAUUCAUGACCAGAGAGGUCAUGAGUAGCAUCAAGGAUCUGAACAUAAACUCUUCCACCAAGUAAUCCAACUAGCAUCAACUACAAAGAGUAAUCAACACUACUAGCAACCUUACAAGUACCAAUCGGAGUCGCGAGACGGAGAUUGGUUACAAGUGAUGAACUAGGGUUGGAGAUGAGAUGGUGCUGAUGAAUAUGUUGAUGGUGAUGAGUCCCCUCUGAUGAGAGGAGUGUUGGUGAUGACGAUGGCGACAAUUUCCCCCUCCGGGAGGGAAGUUUCCCCGGCAGGAUCGUCCUGCCGGAGCUCUAGAUUGGUUCUGCUCAAGUUCCGCCUCGUGGCGGCGGCGAAACCACGAAAAAGCUCCUGCUCGAUUUUUUUCGAGACGAAACCCUUCAUAUAGCAGAAGAGGGGGGCAAGUGGGCCAGCAGGUUGCCCACAAGCCCUCAUGGCGCGGCCGUGGGGGGGGGGGGUGGCCGCGCUGUGCACGCUUGUGGCCAACCCCUGGCGCUUCUUCGGCCCAGUAUUUUUAAUAAAUCCGGAAAAAAUUCUCGUUGAUUUUUACGGCGUUUGAAGUUGCGCAUAAUAGGUAUCUCAAACUUGCUCCACUUUCAGGCCAGAAUUCCAGCUGCUCGCAUUCUCCCUCUUCAUGUAAACCUUGCAAAAUAAGAGAGAAAAGGCAUAAGAAUUGUACCGUGAAGUGAAAUAACAGCCCAAGAAGCGAUAAAUAUCAACACGAAAACAUGAUGCAAAAUGGACGUAUCAACUCCCCCAAGCUUAGACCUCGCUUGUCCUCAAGCGAAAGCCUAGCUCAAUAAACAUGUCCACAUGUUUAGGGAGAGAGGUGUCGACAAAACAAGAUACAAACAUGCAUGCAUCACGAUCAUGAUCAGAACAACAAUACCAACAUAUAAUCUCUCAUGCUAAAGUGAUAAUUCCUUCACAAAGUAAAGCAUGGAUCAAGAACCUUACCGAGAAGUAACAACCGAUAGCCUUUAGUCAUGGAAGCAAUUGCAAUUUAUCACAACAUCAAAAAGAGUCAAAUAAGAGCUUGUAAAGCAAAUCCACAUACUCAAUCAUUCUUUCGUUCUCUACAGUUGCUACAACUCACGUGGUACUCAUGAGAUCAAAGUUUCAGCUGGACACAGAGAAAGAUAGGGGCUUACAGUUUUUCCUCCCAACUGCUUACCUCAAGGGUAAUGUCAACAAUAAUAAUUCAUGAAUACUUACCUCCAAGUUUACAUAUGAAUAUAGAUCUUUCCCAAGCAUAUGACGUUAGCCAAGAUAAACGCGAGAUAAGGAAUUGGUGAAGAUCACCAUGACUCUUUCAAGGGAAAAAAGUAAAGGUACAAGAUAGCCCUUUCGCAGAGGGAAGCAGAGGUUGUCAUGUGCUUUUGAGGUUUGGAUGCGUGUCCUCUUAGUGCGGAGGAACGUCACUUUAUAUUGCCUCCUGUGAUAAAGAACUUUAUUAUGCAGUCUGUCGCUUUUAUGUCUUCCUCAUCACAGGUUCGUACAAAGCUUAUUUUCCACACACUAAUAGAUCAUACAUAUUAGAGAGCAAUUUUUAUUGCUUGCACCGAUGACAACUUAAUUGAGGGAUCUUAUUCAAUCCAUAGGUAGGUAUGGUGGACUCACAUGGCAAAACUGGGUUGAAGAUUUGUGGAUGCACAAGUAAUAUCUCUACUUGGUGCGAGAGUUUUGGCUAAUGUGAGGUGGAAGCAAUCGUCACAUGCUAAGGGAUCUCUAAUCAUAUAACAUUGUUCCGAGCCAAGCAAACACAAUGCAUUAUGUUGUCUUCCUUGUCCAACAUCUACUUCCAGGCAUGUAAUAGUUUAGUGAGUGUUCACAAUCAUAGAUGGUGUCAGAGAUGAUAUAUUUAUAUGUGAACCUCUCCUUCUUUAUCACUUCCUAUUAAUUGCAACAAUGACCAAGGUCUACGUUUGCCUACCCUCAACAAGUUUCAAUCCUCAUUCUUUUUAUAUGUGAAGCCAUCACUUCCCAUAAGAUCAUUACAUGAUCUUUCAUGCUUUUGUUCUAUUCUCACUCUUUUGAUCAUGGCAAGAGGCAAAGCCCUUCAACUAAGACACUCUUUAUUAUAUGGCUCAUGAGCUCGAAUACAUCGGGGGUGAGACAAAGCAAAACUCAAGACUAAAACACUAAGACUUUUAAUCUACUAGAGAAAGAGAAAACUGAAAAGGAAAACUAAAACAAAGGUAAAGGCAAAAGAUGUGAUGAUGAUACGAUACCGGGGCAAGUCCCCCAAGCUUGGCACAAGCCAAGGGGAUUGCCCAUACCAAUGCUCAGUUGUCUUCCUUCGGUGGUGAUGGUGGUGGAGUUGUUGAAGAGGUCUUGAGCUUGUUUAAUUUCCACUUGAGCAUAAAAUUCUGCUCCCUCAGAUCAUCAUUUUCCUCUUCAAGCUUCAACACCCUUUGGCAUAAAUUCUUGCUUACUCUCCUGCAAGAAACGAGAAGGGAUAAACAAGGUCUUAGGCUUCUUCCUUGAGUCGGGGAGGCUCGACUUCUUGAACUCCACACGCGUGUGUCCAGGUUGAGGUAGAGGAGCCUCCUCUUCAUUGGAACUUGUUUGUUCCUCCCCCUUGGGAUCAUAAUCUUCAUCCUCAUCAGUGGUCCAGCCAUAAGGAUCCACGUCCCCAUAGACCUUGGGGUCAGCAAGGUAAUCUGCCACAUAACUAUCCCCCUCUGAAUCCUGAGAAGACAUCUUCCCUGAAUCUGCGGCAGAAAACAUGCUCGAAACGAAAAACAGAAGAAAUCUGUGUGAUGCAAGGGUCAGACCAAACGGAAGUAUAUAUAAUGAUUUUUUCCAGACUAGAAGGAGUACCCUGCACGAAAACGGAGUCCGGGAGGCGCACGAGGUGGCCACAAGCCCUCACGGCGCGGCCAGGGGGUGGGCCCGCGCCGUGCAGGCUUGUCGCCUCCUCGCGCACUUUCCGUACUACUUCCAUUUUUUGUAUUUUUCAAAUAUUCCAAAACGGAGAAAAUUUCCUACUAGAAAAGUUUUGGACUAUGUUUUCUUACCGAAUCACAUACCUCUUCGUUUUCGGAGUCUGAAACAGGCUGAUAAAUAUCCCUAAGGUAUUCUUCCGGAGUUAUGGUAUUGAUAAUAUUGCUCUCAACAUUUAUGGGAGUACCUGAGAUAUAAUGCUUGAUUCUCUGCCCAUUUACUGUUGGGGAACGUCGCAUGGGAAACAAAAAUUUUCCUACGCGCACGAAGACCUAUCAUGGUGAUGUCCAUCUACGAGAGGGGAUGAGUGAUCUACGUACCCUUGUAGAUCGUACAGCAGAAGCGUUAGAGAACGCGGUUGAUGUAGUGGAACGUCCUCACGUCCCUCGAUCCGCCCCGCGAACAAUCCCGCGAUCAGUCCCACGAUCUAGUACCGAACGGACGACACCUCCGCGUUCAGCACACGUGCAGCUCGACGAUGAUCUCGGCCUUCUUGAUCCAGCAAGAGAGACGGAGAGGUAGAAGAGUUCUCCGGCAGCGUGACGGCGCUCCGGAGGUUGGUGAUGAUCUUGUCUCAGCAGGGCUCCGCCCGAGCUCCGCAGAAACACGAUCUAGAGGAAAAACUAUGGAGGUAUGUGGUCGGGCAGCCGUGAGAAAGUCGUCUCAAAUCUGACCCUAAAAGCCSCAUAUAUAUAGGAGGAGGGAGGGGGACCUUGCCUUGGGGUCCAAGGGAUCCCCAAGGGGUCGGCCGAGCCAGGGGGAGGACUCUCCCCCCCCCCCAAACCGAGUCCUACUUGGUUUGGUGGGAGGGAGUCCUUCCCCCUUCCCACCUCUCCCCCUUUUUUUUUCUUUCCUUUGCUUUUCUAUCUUGGCGCAUAGGGGAUUGGUGGGCUGUCCCACCAGCCCACUAAGGGCUGGUGUGACCCCCCAAAUACCUAUGGGCUUCCCCGGAGUGGGUUGCCCCCCUCCGGUGAACUCCCGGAACCCAUUCGUCAUUCCCGGUACAUUCCCGGUAACUCCGAAAACCUUCCGGUAAUCAAAUGAGGUCAUCCUAUAUAUCAAUCUUCGUUUCCGGACCAUUCCGGAAACCCUCGUGACGUCGGUGAUCUCAUCCGGGACUCCGAACAACAUUCGGUAACCAACCAUAUAACUCAAAUACGCAUAAAACAACGUCGAACCUUAAGUGUGCAGACCCUGCGGGUUCGAGAACUAUGUAGACAUGACCCGAGAGACUCCUCGGUCAAUAUCCAAUAGCGGGACCUGGAUGCCCAUAUUGGAUCCUACAUAUUCUACGAAGAUCUUAUCGUUUGAACCUCAGUGCCAAGGAUUCGUAUAAUCCCGUAUGUCAUUCCCUUUGUCCUUCGGUAUGUUACUUGCCCGAGAUUCGAUCGUCAGUAUCCGCAUACCUAUUUCAAUCUCGAUUACCGGCAAGUCUCUUUCUUCGUUNNNNNNNNNNNNNNNNNNNNNNNNNNNNNNNNNNNNNNNNNNNNNNNNNNNNNNNNNNNNNNNNNNNNNNNNNNNNNNNNNNNNNNNNNNNNNNNNNNNNUUUUCAAAAUCAAAAAAAUAUUCUAAUUUUAUUGUAAAAAGAAAAAAAAUGGGAACAACUUUUAAAACGGGAACACGGGUUGAACAUUUUUUCCAAUUUACAAACCAUUUAUAUUAAUUUUGAUAUUUUUUUAUUUUUUCAUAUCAAUUAAUAAGUAUCAAAUAAAAAUUUAAACCUGAACAAAACAUAAAAAUUCUGAAUCUUAGGAACAUUGAUUAGAAAAUCUAAAAAAGGAAAUUGUGCACAUUUUUUUUUUGCAAAUAUAAAAAGAUCGUAAAGAAUGAAAAAAAAAUUAAAAAAUGAAUUUGAAAUUUUGAAAUAUUUGAACUUUUCAAAAAAAGGAAACAAUAAACAGAAAUAUGGAAAAGUCAAACAUAAUUAAAAGCGAAGGAAAGGAAACGUAAAGAAGGAAACAGGAGAGAAGAUAAAGGGAAAAAAGAAAAGAAAAAGACAAAAGUGUGGUUCCCAAAACUGGAAAAAAUGGCUGGGAGGCCAAGGUACCCUUAACUGGAACCUUUUUUUUUACUACUUGUUUCUUUAUUAACUAAAGCCAAGCGAAAGCCUCAUAUGAGUUAUCUUACUGGAGAGGUCCCAAUUAUUACAGCACUAAGCUCAUACGCUUUAAAAGUAGGGAGUUUUUUAAGAAAUGAAUGUGGAACUUUAUCGAUGAACUUCUAUCAAAUCCAGGAGUGUUUUAAGAAAUGAAUGUGGAACUUUAUUGAUGAACUUUUAUCAAAUCCAGGAACACUUGGACCAGCCAAACAAGCGCCCGACAGGUGUGAUGCCAUCGCCUAGUUUGACCAAGGCCUAAGCAUUAUUUUUUCUAUUUUUCUCAUUGUUCUUCUUCUUUUGUUCAAUUCAUUUUUCUCCCUUUUGAACUUUGUUGUUCUUUUUGAAACCUGUUGAAAUUUUUGGAAUACCAAAAUAACAGUUUUAGUUAACUGUUUUAAAUUAUGGUUUCCUUCAAAUAUUUAUCAUAUGCUCUUUAAAAAAAACUUAAUUGUAAUUUUAUCCCUUUUGUAUUAGUUAGUAAUGUUAAAAACUGAAAAUAACAUUUUAAGUACAUGUUUAAAUUAUGAUUUUAAAUAUAUAUUUUCCUUCUAACCUGACAUGGAUGUCUGUCAUAGGCAUGUCCACAUGUUGGUAAAAGUAGGGAUCAUUGCAAGGAUGUCAAGAAAUAGACCAUCUUCAACGUAGGGUGUCCGAGUAGGAUAGAAGGCUCCGACCGGGAGCACUACGUUUUUGACAUCCUUGAAAUUGCUCCUAGUUUUUUUUUCAUGGUCUUAAUUAACCAAUUCCAAGCACCAUGCCUAGUUGUUUGUUGUUUUUGUAUUUUUUUUUUUGUCAUUUCCUCGAAUUUUCUCUGUUAAAAAUGUUGAUAAAUGAUUGGACAUUUCGCAACUAGCAUACAAUGUCAAAAGUCGUCCAGACCAGGAAUGGAUACCUAACAUGGCCAUGGCGACCUGGUUGUAAAAGUUGGGGUCAUUUUAAGGAUGUCUAAAAACAGACCAUGCACAACAAAGUGUGUUUGGGUAGGGCAAGAAAGGUCCACAUUUGAAAGCACGUUGUUUUUCAACAUCCGUCAAACUGCCCCAAAAAAAUUAAACCAACUUCUAUGACUAAUUCAAGGCAUUUCCCCAUGUUUUCUGAAUUUUCAACUAAUUAUGCAUUUUCUGGAGUUUUCAUGAUUGAAAUGACCAAUAAAUGGUCGUACAUGUUGCAACGUGCAAAUGGUGUGUGAACUCGUUAGAACUUGACAUCAGUGCAUCAUAUGCGUGCCAGGCAUAUGCAAGAUGUUGGAGUCAUUUAUCCAUAGUCCAAAAAAUGAUGAGUUGAGAGAAGUGUGGCACACUAGGUCCCACGAAUGCAUCCAUGAGCAUGUAGUUCUUCCCAAUUUGAAUGCUUCUGUCAUUUGCAAUUUCCUUCAUUAUCAGUCAACAUGAACUAUUUUUUAUGACCUUAAAAAAUCUUGUAAAAUUUUUCACCWACUAAAAUUUUUAAAAAUUKAGCUAAAAUUUGUUUUCUAGUAAUUUUUUAACAAAAACAUUUAAAACUUUUUUUNNNNNNNNNNNNNNNNNNNNNNNNNNNNNNNNNNNNNNNNNNNNNNNNNNNNNNNNNNNNNNNNNNNNNNNNNNNNNNNNNNNNNNNNNNNNNNNNNNNNAGAGCAUAAAAGGUUACUUGAAUAAAAGUUUCUCUAUGAAGGACCUAGGAGAAGCUGCUUACAUUCUAGGCAUUAAGAUCUAUAGGGAUAGAUCAAAACGCCUGAUAGGACUUUCACAAAGCACGUACCUUGAUAAAGUUUUGAAGAGGUUCAAAAUGGAACAGUCCAAGAAAGGGUUCUUACCAGUGUUACAAGGUACGAGAUUGAGUAAGACUCAGUGCCCAGCAACUGAUGAAGAUAGAGAGCAUAUGCGCUCCGUCCCCUAUGCUUCAGCCAUAGGUUCUAUCAUGUAUGCGAUGCUGUGCACUAGACCGGAUGUUAGCCUGGCCAUAAGUAUGGCAGGUAGGUUCCAGAGUAAUCCAGGAGUGGAUCACUGGACGGCGGUCAAGAAUAUCCUGAAGUACCUGAAAAGGACUAAGGAGAUGUUUCUCGUGUAUGGAGGUGACGAAGAGCUCGCCGUAAAAGGUUACGUCGAUGCAAGCUUUGACACAGAUCCGGACGACUCUAAGUCGCAAACCGGAUACGUAUUUAUUCUUAAUGGGGGUGCAGUAAGCUGGUGCAGUUCCAAGCAAAGCGUCGUAGCAGAUUCUACAUGUGAAGCGGAGUACAUGGCUGCCUCGGAGGCGGCUAAGGAGGGUGUCUGGAUGAAGCAGUUCAUGACGGAUCUUGGAGUGGUGCCAAGCGCACUGAAUCCAAUAACCUUGUUCUGUGACAACACUGGUGCCAUUGCCUUAGCAAAGGAACCGCGGUUUCACAAGAAGACCAGACACAUCAAAUGACGCUUCAACCUCAUCCGCGACUACGUCGAGGGAGAGGACGUGAAUAUAUGCAAAGUGCACACGGAUCUGAAUGUAGCAGACCCGCUGACUAAACCUCUUCCAAGGCCAAAACAUGAUCAACACCAGAACUGUAUGGGUGUUAGAUUUAUAACAAUGUAAUUCACAUGGUGAUGUGAGGGAUAGAUUAUUGACUCUAGUGCAAGUGGGAGACUGUUGGAAUUAUGCCCUAGAGGCAAUAAUAAAUAUAGUUAUUAUUAUAAUUCCUGUAUCAAGAUAAUCGUUUAUUAUCCAUGCUAUAAUUGUAUUGAAUGAAGACUCAUUACAUGUGUGGAUACAUAGACAAAACACCGUCCCUAGCAAGCCUCUAGUUGGCUAGCCAGUUGAUCAAAGAUAGUCAGUGUCUUCUGAUUAUGAACAAGGUGUUGUUGCUUGAUAACUGGAUCACGUUAUUAGGAGAAUCACGUGAUGGACUAGACCCAAACUAAUAGACAUAGCAUGUUGAUCGUGUCAUUUUGUUGCUACUGUUUUCUGCGUGUCAAGUAUUUAUUCCUAUGACCAUGAGAUCAUAUAACUCACUGACACCGGAGGAAUGCUUUGUGUGUAUCAAACGUCGCAACGUAACUGGGUGACUAUAAAGAUGCUCUACAGGUAUCUCCGAAGGUGUUAGUUGAGUUAGUAUGGAUCAAGACUGGGAUUUGUCACUCCGUGUGAACGGAGAGGUAUCUCGGGGCCCACUCAGUAAUACAACAUCACACACAAGCCUUGCAAGCAAUGUAACUUAGUGUAAGUUGCGGGAUCUUGUAUUACGGAACGAGUAAAGAGACUUGCCGGUAAACGAGAUUGAAAUAGGUAUACGGAUACUGACGAUCGAAUCUCGGGCAAGUAACAUACCGAAGGACAAAGGGAAUAACAUACGGGAUUAUAUGAAUCCUUGGCACUGAGGUUCAAACGAUAAGAUCUUCGUAGAAUAUGUAGGAUCCAAUAUGGGCAUCCAGGUCCCGCUAUUGGAUAGUGACCGAGGUGUCUCUCGGGUCAUGUCUACAUAGUUCUCGAACCCGCAGGGUCUGCACACUUAAGGUUCGACGUUGUUUUUUGCGUAUUUGAGUUAUAUGGUUGGUUACAGAAUGUUGUUCGGAGUCCCGGAUGAGAUCACGGACGUCACAAGGGUUUCCAGAAUAGUCCGGAAACGAAGAUUGAUAUAUAGGAUGACCUCAUUUGAUUACCGGAAGGUUUUCGGAGUUACCGGAAAUGUACCGGGAAUGACGAAUGGGUUCCGGGAGUUCACCGGGGGGGCAACCCACCCCGGGGAAGCCCAUAGGCCUUGAGGGUGGCACACCAGCCCUUAGUGGGCUGGUGGGACAGCCCAAAAGGGCUCUAUGCGCCAAGAAGAGAAAAUCAAGAGAGCAAAGAAAAAAAARGGAGGAGGUGGGAAGGAAGGGGGACUCCCUCCCACCAAACCAAGUCCAACUCGGUUUGGGGGGGGGGAGUCCUCCCCCCUUGGACUCGGCCGACCCCCUUGGGGCUCCUUGAGCCCCAAGGCAAGGUCCCCUCCCUCCCACCUAUAUAUACAGAGGUUUUAGGGCUGAUUUGAGACGACUUUCCCACGGCAGCCCGACCACAUACCUCCACGGUUUUUCCUCUAGAUCGCGUUUCUGCGGAGCUCGGGCGGAGCCCUGCUGAGACAAGGUCAUCACCAACCUCCGGAGCGCCGUCAUGCUGCUGGAGAACUCUUCUACCUCUCCGUCUCUCUUGCUGGAUCAAGAAGGCCGAGAUCAUCGUCGAGCUGUACGUGUGCUGAACGCGGAGGUGCCGUCCGUUCGGUACUAGAUCGUGGGACUGAUCGCGGGAUUGUUCGCGGGGCGGAUCGAGGGACGUGAGGACGUUCCACUACAUCAACCGCGUUCUCUAACGCUUCUGCUGUACGAUCUACAAGGGUACGUAGAUCACUCAUCCCCUCUCGUAGAUGGACAUCACCAUGAUAGGUCUUCGUGCGCGUAGGAAAAUUUUUGUUUCCCAUGCGACGUUCCCCAACAGUUUUCACAUGGAAGCAACUGCACCUGCAACUAGCAACGCUAACACAGGGUUAAGCAAGCAGUAACAUAGCCCAUCAGUGGUUUGCUAGGUUGAACAGGUUGAAGGUUUUCAUGGCAUUGUUGAGAGGCUGAUAUUUAACAUGUGGUAGGCAACGAGACAUAAUCGAUAGAAGCGAUAAAACUAGCAUGGCAAUGAUAGUAAUGGUAUCUGGCAAAUGGUCAUCUUGCCUGAGAUCCCGCUUGGAAGAAGAAUGCCUCCGUGAAGCAGACGAACCGACGUAGUCGAACGAGUCCUCACAUCCAACACGCUUACGGAACUCUAUCGGGACGGGGAAAACCGGAAACAAUUAUCAACACACGAAAUUCACCUCGCGAUGCACAACACAAAUGAUGCAUGAGCAGCUGAAUACAUGCAAGUCACGGCAUGACAAAUCACACAAUCAAACACUACACAUUAAGUGAAGUUCAAUAUGCAACGAGUUGCAUAUUGACGAAACUCCACGUUAAUUAUUCAGUUCUAUCCCGAUUAGAUACUCGGAAAUAUUAAAUGUGAUUAAACAUGGCAAGAGGUGAAGCGUAAUUAAACUACUUAUCUAGGCAUUUUAAAUGAGGUCGGAAAUGACAUAUAGCAUCUCCGAGGCGACCUCACAUGUUAAUUUACAAUUCUGUCCAGAUCUGAACUAACACAUUUAAUUAGUUGUUAAACAGCAAAACAAAUAGGUUCACGUGAUUCUACGCGUCAAGGCAAGCAAUUUACACAUAGAGAACAUCUCCAACGGAGCUACGGAUCAAAAGUUACAAGCACCGCAAGAUAUGAUGGCAUGAAUGCAAUAUGUGUGCAACGACGGCUACGAGCACUUCAAAACAUACAACCAGCAAGAGAAAAUGAAACUACACGAGAUUCUAAGCAAGUUUCAUGUAGGACACGAUCAAAUCGGAGCUAUGCUUCAACAACUACGAGCAAAACUAGAAAUCACUACAAUCUGCCAAAAUCAGCCACAUAGCAUUUUCUACGCCCCACAACUACGAGCUACACAACUCAAAUAUAAUCAACUAAGGCAUGACACGAAAGAGGGCAAGAAGCACUACAACGAACAACAAACAACAACUAGCAUGGCAGCAAGGAACACAACGAAAAGAAAUCACAAAAUGGCUUCCCACACACUAUUUCGGACUUAGUGAAAAUUACACUUCAUGAAAGUGCAGUUUUCGAUCUGAAACAAUAUUGACAGCAGCAAAAUCAUAAGCUACAAGACUCCAAAUGGCAUAAAAAUUCACAACUUUCUAGAGAAACACAAGGACUACAAUUUACUCCAUUGGACCAACCUCAAAAUAGCUACAGAUCACAAGAUAUAAGCAAGACAAGACAGCAACAAAAUAUAACAGAUCUCAGACUUAGAAAUAUUUCAGCUCCUCCAAAUCAGCACUAUUUCUAGCAACUUGAGAGCAAGCAAACCACACCUAAACAUGCAUUUCUAUUGCAACCAAAAUACCAGGGGCUAGAGUAAACAUCCAAGAACAACUCUCUAGUUGACAACUCCGUCAAACAAAGCACGGAAUAAAUCCUACGAAAAUGACAAGAGGGCAACAUGGCAAAAUAUCGCGCGAACUAACUUGCUCAAAAGCUAAAACUAAUUGCACAGAAAAAUCACAUGGAUUUUUCUACCCCGAAAACAUAUAAAAUAUGUGGGAUUGCACAACAUUAAUAAUGCCAAACGUAAAUGCGAGAAAAAUAUCUAGACACGAAAAAAUAAACUAGCGGCAAAUCCCUACGCGCAAAAAUACCAAUGGCUACUCUAAAAUACAUGGAAAAUGGGUCCCUAGAGCAUGAACAUUUUAUCUAAGGCAUUCAGGCAAACCGGACACACGCGAAAAAUAAACACGGGACGCAAACAUAUUAGGACAGCACGUUAAUCUAUGCAUACGGCAUGCUAAACAUCGUCAAACAAAUAUGCAAGUUGCACCAACGUAUUCUAUGCGCAAAACUACGCGAAAUCCAUAUAUUACACGUCUCGAUCCGACUAACGGUUAACAAGUUACGGACAAAAGUAUAUACACUUAUUUUUAUGGAAUUUUAUUAAAUUCCGAAAAAUCCAAAAUUACCUAAUGGGCCUAACAGCGGGGGCAUAACAACAAAAUUGCGCUUAGGCGGAAAAUACCUUGGGGRAMGGNNNNNNNNNNNNNNNNNNNNNNNNNNNNNNNNNNNNNNNNNNNNNNNNNNNNNNNNNNNNNNNNNNNNNNNNNNNNNNNNNNNNNNNNNNNNNNNNNNNNAAGGUCUCCCUCCCUCCUCCUAUAUAUAUGGGGCUUUUAGGGCAGAUUUGAGACGACUUUCUCACGGCUGCCCGACCACAUACCUCCAUAGUUUUUCCUCUAGAUCGUGUUUCUGCGGAGCUCGGGCGGAGCCCUGCUGAGACAAGAUCAUCACCAACCUCCGGAGCACCGUCACGAUGCCGGAGAACUCUUCUACCUCUCCGUCUCUCUUGCUGGAUCAAGAAGGCAGAGAUCAUCGUCGAGCUGUACGUGUGCUGAACGCGGAGGUGCCGUCCGUUCGGUACUAGAUCGUGGGACUGAUCGCGGGAUUGUUCGCGGGGCGGAUCGAGGGACGUGAGGACGUUCCACUACAUCAACCGCGAUCUCUAAUCGCUUCUGCUGUACGAUCUACAAGGGUACGUAGAUCACUCAUCCCCUCUCGUAGAUGGACAUCACCAUGAUAGGUCUUCGUGCGCGUAGGAAAUUUUUUGUUUCCCAUGCGACGUUCCCCAACACCCACUUGCUUUCUUUUAUGCUUUUUAUGGGGCAAAUAUAACUUCGUGUACUUUCAGGACCGUUUUGUGUGUGUGUGUGUUUUAACCGGAUUUUGUUUUGUUUUACUCUGUUUUUUUCAAAUGUAUCAACUUCUCAGAAUUUCAAAAAUAAUAAUUCAAAUGUAAUAUUUUUCUCAAUAUGUGAACCUUUUCAACUUUCAGAGUUCAUUUUUGCGACUUUUCUCGUGAACUUUUGUUUCACUCGAAUUUUUUCAAAACCGUGAAAGUUAUUUUUCAGAAAUCGAUGAAAUUUUUUCAAAUCCGCGAACACUUACGAUGGCCCAAUAGGCGCCCGAUGGGACGAUAACAUCACCUAGUUCGGCCGAGGACUAAGCGUAAUUUAUAUUCUACAUUUUUGUAUUUCUUAUCUUUUUUGUUAAUUUAUUCUUAUCCUUUCUGAACUUUAUUAUUCUUCUUGAAACAUGUUCAAAAAAAUGAAAAAAAAUUGGAAUACAAAAAAUGUUCCUAUUUUCAAAUGUUGUUUACAAUUUUUGAAAAUUUUCUGGAAUUUCAAUAUAUAUUUGUGUUUCAAACUAAGUUGAUAUUUUUUAGAAUUACAUUGUUUGCGAUUUGUGCUCAAAAUUUUCAUUAAUUGUGUUGAAUAUGUUAACAAUUUUGAAAAAAGUUUUAUGUUUUGUAAAAAAUUCAGAAACAAUUUGCAAAUUUUUAAAAUUGGUGAAAAAAUUUCAAGAUUUUUUAAGGCAUAAAAAAUGUUCAUGUUGACUGAUAAUGAAGGAAAUUGCAAAUGACAGAAGCAUUCAAAUUGGGAAGAACUACAUGCUCAUGGAUGCAUUCGUGGGACCUAGUGUGCCACACUUCUCUCAACUCNUCAUUUUUUGGACNNNNNNNNNNNNNNNNNNNNNNNNNNNNNNNNNNNNNNNNNNNNNNNNNNNNNNNNNNNNNNNNNNNNNNNNNNNNNNNNNNNNNNNNNNNNNNNNNNNNGAAGGUCCCUAUGUUGUUGAGGAAGUAUAUCGUUUCGGUGCUAUCAAGAUCAACAACACGGAAGGUAAUUGUCCGAGAGUUGUAAAUGUUGGAAUUAUGCCCUAGAGGCAAUAAUAAAUGUAUAGUUAUUAUUAUAAUUCCUGUAUCAAGAUAAUAGUUUAUUAUCCAUGCUAUAAUUGUAUUGAAUGAAGGCUCAUUUACAUGUGUGGAUACAUAGACAAAACACCGUCCCUAGCAUGCCUCUAGUUGGCUAGCCAGUUGAUCGAUGAUAGUCAGUGUCUUCUGAUUAUGAACAAGGUGUUGUUGCUUGAUAACUGGAUCACGUCAUUAGGAGAAUCACGUGAUGGACUAGACCCAAACUAAUAGACGUAGCAUGUUGAUCGUGUCAUUUUGUUGCUACUGUUUUCUGCGUGUCAAGUAUUUAUUCCUAUGACCAUGAGAUCGUAUAACUCACUGACACCGGAGGAAUGCUUUGUGUGUAUCAAACGUCGCAACGUAACUGGGUGACUAUAAAGAUGCUCUACAGGUAUCUCCGAAGGUGUUAGUUGAGUUAGUAUGGAUCAAGACUGGGAUUUGUCACUCCGUGUGAACGGAGAGGUAUCUCGGGGCCCACUCAGUAAUACAACAUCACACACAAGCCUUGCAAGCAAUGUAACUUAGUGUAAGUUGCGGGAUCUUGUAUUACGGAACGAGUAAAGAGACUUGCCGGUAAACGAGAUUGAAAUAGGUAUACGGAUACUGACGAUCGAAUCUCGGGCAAGUAACAUACCGAAGGACAAAGGGAAUAACAUACGGGAUUAUAUGAAUCCUUGGCACUGAGGUUCAAACGAUAAGAUCUUCGUAGAAUAUGUAGGAUCCAAUAUGGGCAUCCAGGUCCCGCUAUUGGAUAGUGACCGAGGUGUCUCUCUGGUCAUGUCUACAUAGUUCUCAAACCCGCAGGGUCUGCACACUUAAGGUUCGACGUUGUUUUUUGCGUAUUUGAGUUAUAUGGUUGGUUACCGAAUGUUGUUCGGAGUCCCGGAUGAGAUCACGGACGUCACGAGGGUUUCCGGAAUAGUCCGGAAACGAAGAUUGAUAUAUAGGAUAACCUCAUUUGAUUACCGGAAGGUUUUCGGAGUUACCGGAAAUGUACCGGGAAUGACGAAUGGGUUCCGGGAGUUCACCGAGGGGGGGGGGGAACCCACCCCGGGGAAGCCCAUAGGCCUUGAGGGUGGCACACCAGCCCUUAGUGGGCUGGUGGGACAGCCCAAAAGGGCUCUAUGCGCCAAGAAGAGAAAAUCAAGAGAGCAAAGAAAAAAAAAGGAGGAGGUGGGAAGGAAGGGGGACUCCCUCCCACCAAACCAAGUCCAACUCGGUUUGGGGGGGGGGGAGGUCUCCCCCCCUUGGACUCGGCCGACCCCCUUGGGGCUCUUGAGUCCCAAGGCAAGGUCCCCUCCCUCCCACCUAUAUAUACGGAGGUUUUAGGGCUGAUUUGAGACGACUUUCCCACGGCAGCCCGACCACAUACCUCCACGGUUUUUCCUCUAGAUCGCGUUUCUGCGGAGCUCGGGCGGAGCCCUGCUGAGACAAGGUCAUCACCAACCUCCGGAGCGCCGUCACGCUGCCGGAGAACUCUUCUACCUCUUCGUCUCUCUUGCUGGAUCAAGAAGGCCGAGAUCAUCGUCGAGCUGUACGUGUGCUGAACGCGGAGGUGCCGUCCGUUCGGUACUAGAUCGUGGGACUGAUCGCGGGAUUGUUCGCGGGGCGGAUCGGAGGGACGUGAGGACGUUCCACUACAUCAACCGCGAUCUCUAAUCGCUUCUUCUGUACGAUCUACAAGGGUACGUAGAUCACUCAUCCCCUCUCGUAGAUGGACAUCACCAUGAUAGGUCUUCGUGCGCGUAGGAAAAUUUUUGUUUCCCAUGCGACGUUCCCCAACAGUGGCAUCAUGAGCUAGGUUCAUGCGUAGAUGUCUUCUCGAGUAGAACACAAAAGGUUUUGUGGGCGGUGAUGUGCGUUUUGCUGCCCUCCUUAGUCUUUUCUUGAUUCCGCGGUAUUGUUGGAUUGAAGCGGCUUGGACCGACAUUACUCGUACGCUUACGAGAGACUGGUUUCAUCGUUACGAGUAACCCCCUUUGCUCAAAGAUGACUGGCAAGUGACGGUUUCUCCAACUUUAGUUGAAUCGGAUAUGACCGAGGAGGUCCUUGGAUGAGGUUAAAUAGCAAUUCAUAUAUCUCCGUUGUGGUGUUUGCGUAAGUAAGAUGCGAUCCUACUAGAUACCCUUGGUCACCACGUAAAACAUGCAACAACAAAAUUAGAGGACGUCUAACUUGUUUUUGCAGGGUAUGAUUGUGAUGUGAUAUGGCCAAUGAUGUGAUGUGAUAUAUUGGAUGUAUGAGAUGAUCAUGUUGUAAUAGAAAUAUCGACUUGCACGUCGAUGGUACGGCAACCGGCAGGAGCCAUAGGGUUGUCUUUAUACUAACAUAUGUGCUUGCAGAUGCGUUUACUAUUUUGCUAGGAUGUAGCUUUAGUAGUAAUAGCAUAAGUAGCAUGACAACCCCGAUGGCAACACGUUGAUGGAUGAUCAUGGUGUGGCGCCGGUGACAAGCAGAUCGUGCCGGUGCUUUGGUGAUGGAGAUCAAGAAGCACGUGAUGAUGGCCAUAUCAUGUCACUUAUGAAUUGCAUGUGAUGUUAAUCCUUUUAUGCACCUUAUUUUGCUUAGAACGACGGUAGCAUUAUGAGGUGAUCUCUCACUAAAAUUUCAAGACGAAAUUGUGUUCUCCCCGACUGUGCACCGUUGCGACAGUUCUUCGUUUCGAGACACCACGUGAUGAUCGGGUGUGAUAGACUCAACGUUCACAUACAACGGGUGCAAAANNNNNNNNNNNNNNNNNNNNNNNNNNNNNNNNNNNNNNNNNNNNNNNNNNNNNNNNNNNNNNNNNNNNNNNNNNNNNNNNNNNNNNNNNNNNNNNNNNNNGGAGGAGGAGGAGGUAGGAGGUAGGAGNGNAGGAGAGGAGGAGAUGGAGUGGAGGAGACGAGGAGAAGAAUGAUGGCGUAAGUGACUGGCCGGUCCUUUUAGCCCAACUUAGCAGUGGCGCACCUUGCAUUGGUGCGCCAUUGCUAUUUUUUUGAAUUAUGAAGGCGGGAAAAUAGUAGUGGCGCACUAUUUACUAAUGCACCAUUGCUAAUUUUUUAUUUUGUCUUUUUUUUUGUAAUUGUGCAGGCGGGAAUAUAGUAGUGGCGCAUUAUUCAUAAGGUGCGCCAUUGCUAAUUUAAUUAUUUGUUGCAUUUUUUCGAUUUUUUUGCCUCAAGAUCUUAAAAGCAUCAUAACUUUUUUCUGUUAGGUUUCUGGGGAUUCGAAAAAUCUUCAACGGGGUCCCCCCGUUUGAAUUCGGGUGUAACUUUUCGAGUAGAUGACUUUUUAUAUAAAAAACUUUUUCAUCGGAGGUCGUAUGCAAAAGUUACAGCCAUUUUACCGAAAAACGAUGGCCUUUUGACAAAAAAAAAAACAUGUUUGUUAAUUUUCUUAACAACUAGAACACAUAACCACAUGGGNNNNNNNNNNNNNNNNNNNNNNNNNNNNNNNNNNNNNNNNNNNNNNNNNNNNNNNNNNNNNNNNNNNNNNNNNNNNNNNNNNNNNNNNNNNNNNNNNNNNAGAUACUGCCUNAGGGCCGCAAGGCUAUUCAGAACAAAUGGANCUUUAAGAAGAAGACGGACGCUGACGGUAAUGUGACCGUUUAUAAAGCUCGACUUGUGGCAAAGGGUUUUUCACAAGUUCCAGGAAUUGACUACGAUGAGACUUUCUCCCCCGUAGCGAUGCUUAAGUCCGUCAGAAUCAUGUUAGCAAUAGCUGCAUUUUUCGAUUAUGAAAUCUGGCAGAUGGAUGUCAAAACGGCGUUCCUUAACGGUUUCCUUAAGGAAGAGUUGUAUAUGAUGCAACCCGAAGGUUUUGUCGAUCCUAAAAAUGCUGACAAGGUGUGCAAGCUCCAACGAUCCAUUUAUGGACUGGUGCAAGCAUCUCGGAGUUGGAACAAACGCUUUGAUGAGGUGAUCAAAGCAUUUGGGUUUAUACAAGUGGUUGGAGAAUCUUGUAUUUACAAGAAAGUGAGUGGGAGCUCUGUGGCGUUUCUAAUAUUAUAUGUGGAUGACAUAUUACUGAUUGGAAACAACGUAGAGUGUUUAGAGAGCAUAAAGGAUUACUUGAAUAAAAGUUUCUCUAUGAAGGACCUAGGAGAAGCUGCUUACAUUCUAGGNNNNNNNNNNNNNNNNNNNNNNNNNNNNNNNNNNNNNNNNNNNNNNNNNNNNNNNNNNNNNNNNNNNNNNNNNNNNNNNNNNNNNNNNNNNNNNNNNNNNUGCCAAGGAUUCAUAUAAUCCCGUAUGUUAUUCCCUUUGUCCUUCGGUAUGUUACUUGCCCGAGAUUCGAUCGUCAGUAUCCGUAUACCUAUUUCAAUCUCGUUUACCGGCAAGUCUCUUUACUCGUUCCGUAAUACAAGAUCCCGCAACUUACACUAAGUUACAUUGCUUGCAAGGCUUGUGUGUGAUGUUGUAUUACCGAGUGGGCCCCGAGAUACCUCUCCGUCCACACGGAGUGACAAAUCCCAGUCUUGAUCCAUACUAACUCAACUAACACCUUUGGAGAUACCUAUAGAGCAUCUUUAUAGUCACCCAGUUACGUUACGACGUUUGAUACACACAAAGCAUUCCUCCGGUGUCAGUGAGUUAUAUGAUCUCAUGGUCAUAGGAAUAAAUACUUGACAUGCAGAAAACAGUAGCAACAAAAUGACACGAUCAACAUGCUACGUCUAUUAGUUUGGGUCUAAUCCAUCACGUGAUUCUCCUAAUAACGUGAUCCAGUUAUCAAGCAACAACACCUUGUUCAUAAUCAGAAGACACUGACUAUAUUUGAUCAACUGGCUAGCCAACUAGAGGCUUGCUAGGGACGGUGUUUUGUCUAUGUAUCCACACAUGUAAAUGAGUCUUCAUUCAAUACAAUUAUAGCAUGGAUAAUAAACGAUUAUCUUGAUACAGGAAUUAUAAUAAUAACUAUAUUUAUUAUUGCCUCUAGGGCAUAAUUCCAACAUUUACAACUCUCGGACAAUUACCUUCCGUGUUGUUGAUCUUGAUAGCACCGAAACGAUAUACUUCCUCAACAACAUAGGGACCUUCCCAUUUAGAGAGAAGCUUNNNNNNNNNNNNNNNNNNNNNNNNNNNNNNNNNNNNNNNNNNNNNNNNNNNNNNNNNNNNNNNNNNNNNNNNNNNNNNNNNNNNNNNNNNNNNNNNNNNNAAGCUUCUCUCUAAAUGGGAAGGUCCCUAUGUUGUUGAGGAAGUAUAUCGUUUCGGUGCUAUCAAGAUCAACAACACGGAAGGUAAUUGUCCGAGAGUUGUAAAUGUUGGAAUUAUGCCCUAGAGGCAAUAAUAAAUAUAGUUAUUAUUAUAAUUCCUGUAUCAAGAUAAUCGUUUAUUAUCCAUGCUAUAAUUGUAUUGAAUGAAGACUCAUUUACAUGUGUGGAUACAUAGACAAAACACCGUCCCUAGCAAGCCUCUAGUUGGCUAGCCAGUUGAUCAAAUAUAGUCAGUGUCUUCUGAUUAUGAACAAGGUGUUGUUGCUUGAUAACUGGAUCACGUUAUUAGGAGAAUCACGUGAUGGACUAGACCCAAACUAAUAGACAUAGCAUGUUGAUCGUGUCAUUUUGUUGCUACUGUUUUCUGCGUGUCAAGUAUUUAUUCCUAUGACCAUGAGAUCGUAUAACUCACUGACACCGGAGGAAUGCUUUGUGUGUAUCAAACGUCGCAACGUAACUGGGUGACUAUAAAGAUGCUCUACAGGUAUCUCCGAAGGUGUUAGUUGAGUUAGUAUGGAUCAAGACUGGGAUUUGUCACUCCGUGUGACGGAGAGGUAUCUCGGGGCCCACUCGGUAAUACAACAUCACACACAAGCCUUGCAAGCAAUGUAACUUAGUGUAAGUUGCGGGACCUUGUAUUACGGAACGAGUAAAGAGACUUGCCGGUAAACGAGGUUGAAAUAGGUAUGCGGAUACUGACGAUCGAAUCUCGGGCAAGUAACAUACCGAAGGACAAAGGGAAUGACAUACGGGAUCAUACGAAUCCUUGGCACUGAGGUUCAAACGANNNNNNNNNNNNNNNNNNNNNNNNNNNNNNNNNNNNNNNNNNNNNNNNNNNNNNNNNNNNNNNNNNNNNNNNNNNNNNNNNNNNNNNNNNNNNNNNNNNNUAGACCCAAACUAAUAGACGUAGCAUGUUGAUCGUGUCAUUUUGUUGCUACUGUUUUCUGCGUGUCAAGUAUUUAUUCCUAUGACCAUGAGAUCGUAUAACUCACUGACACCGGAGGAAUGCUUUGUGUGUAUCAAACGUCGCAACGUAACUGGGUGACUAUAAAGAUGCUCUACAGGUAUCUCCGAAGGUGUUAGUUGAGUUAGUAUGGAUCAAGACUGGGCUUUGUCACUCCGUGUGACGGAGAGGUAUCUCUGGGCCCACUCGGUAAUACAACAUCACACACAAGCCUUGCAAGCAAUGUAACUUAGUGUAAGUUGCGGGACCUUGUAUUACGGAACGAGUAAAGAGACUUGCCGGUAAACGAGGUUGAAAUAGGUAUGCGGAUACUGACGAUCGAAUCUCGGGCAAGUAACAUACCGAAGGACAAAGGGAAUGACAUACGGGAUUAUACGAAUCCUUGGCACUGAGGUUCAAACAAUAAGAUCUUCGUAGAAUAUGUAGGAUCCAAUAUGGGCAUCCAGGUCCCGCUAUUGGAUAUUGACCGAGGAGUCUCUCGGGUCAUGUCUACAUAGUUCUCGAACCCGCAGGGUCUGCACACUUAAGGUUCGACGUUGUUUUAUGCGUAUUUGAGUUAUAUGGUUGGUUACCGAAUGUUGUUCGGAGUCCCGGAUGAGAUCACGGACGUCACGAGGGUUUCCGGAAUGGUCCGGAAACGAAGAUUGAUAUGUAGGAUGACCUCAUUUGAUUACCGGAAGGUUUUCGGAGUUACCGGGAAUGUACCGGGAAUGACGAAUGGGUUCCGGGAGUUCACCGGAGGGGGCAACCCACUCCGGGGAAGCCCAUAGGUAUUUGGGGGGUCACACCAGCCCUUAGUGGGCUGGUGGGACAGCCCACCAAUCCCCUAUGCGCCAAGAUAGAAAAAUCAAAGGAAAGAAAAAAAAAGAGGGAGAGGUGGGAAGGGGGAAGGACUCCCUCCACCAAACCAAGUAGGACUCGGUUUGGGGGUGGGGGGGANAGUCCCCCCCCCNNNNNNNNNNNNNNNNNNNNNNNNNNNNNNNNNNNNNNNNNNNNNNNNNNNNNNNNNNNNNNNNNNNNNNNNNNNNNNNNNNNNNNNNNNNNNNNNNNNNGGGUCCAAGGGAACCCCAAGGGGUCGGCCGAGCCAGGGGGGAGGACUCCUCCCCCCCCAAACCGAGUCCUACUUGGUUUGGUGGGAGGGAGUCCUUCCCCCUUCCCACCUCUCCCUUUUUUUUCUUUCCUUUGAUAUUUUCUCUUCCUUGGCGCAUCGGAUUUGGUGGGCUGUCCCACCAGCCCACUAAGGGCUGGUGUGACCCCCCCAAAUACCUAUGGGCUUCCCCGGAGUGGGUUGCCCCCCUCCGGUGAACCCCCGGAACCCAUUUGUCAUUCCCGGUACAUUCCCGGUAACUCCGAAAACCUUCCGGUAAUCAAAUGAGGUCAUCCUAUAUAUCAAUCUUCGUUUCCGGACCAUUCCGGAAACCCUCGUGACGUCCGUGAUCUCAUCCGGGACUCCGAACAACAUUCGGUAACCAACCAUAUAACUCAAAUACGCAUAAAACAACGUCGAACCUUAAGUGUGCAGACCCUGCGGGUUCGAGAACUAUGUAGACAUGACCCGAGAGACUCCUCGGUCAAUAUNNNNNNNNNNNNNNNNNNNNNNNNNNNNNNNNNNNNNNNNNNNNNNNNNNNNNNNNNNNNNNNNNNNNNNNNNNNNNNNNNNNNNNNNNNNNNNNNNNNNAAUAAUAACUAUACAUUUAUUAUUGCCUCUAGGGCAUAAUUCCAACAGUCUCCCACUUGCACUAGAGUCAAUAAUCUAGCCCUCACAUCACCAUGUGAAUUACAUUGUAAUAAAUCUAACACCCAUACAGUUCUGGUGUCGAUCAUGUUUUGGCCAUGGAAGAGGUUUAGUCAGCGGGUCUGCUACAUUCAGAUCCGUGUGCACUUUGCAUAUAUUUACGUCCUCCUCCUCGACGUAGUCGCGGAUGAGGUUGAAGCGUCGUUUGAUGUGUCUGGUCUUCUUGUGAAACCUUGGUUCCUUUGCUAAGGCAAUGGCACCAGUGUUGUCACAGAACAAGUUUAUUGGAUCCAGUGCACUUGGCACCACUCCAAGAUCCGUCAUGAACUACUUCAUCCAGACACCCUCCUUAGCCGCCUCCGAGGCAGCCAUGUACUCCGCUUCACAUGUAGAAUCUGCUACGACGCUUUGCUUGGAACUGCACCAGCUUACUGCACCCCCAUUAAGAAUAAAUACGUAUCCGGUUUGUGACUUAGAGUCGUCCGGAUCUGUGUCAAAGCUUGCAUCAACGUAACCUUUUACGGCGAGCUCUUCGUCACCUCCAUACACGAGAAACAUCUCCUUAGUCCUUUUCAGGUACUUCAGGAUAUUCUUGACCGCCGUCCAGUGAUCCACUCCUGGAUUACUCUGGAACCUGCCUGCCAUACUUAUGGCCAGGCUAACAUCCGGUCUAGUGCACAGCAUCGCAUACAUGAUAGAGCCUAUGGCUGAAGCAUAGGGGACGGAGCGCAUAUGCUCUCUAUCUUCAUCAGUUGCUGGGCACUGAGUCUUACUCAAUCUCGUACCUUGUAACACUGGCAAGAACCCUUUCUUGGACUGUUCCAUUUUGAACCUCUUCAAAACUUUAUCAAGGUAUGUGCUUUGUGAAAGUCCUAUCAGGCGUUUUGAUCUAUCCCUAUAGAUCUUAAUGCCUAGAAUGUAAGCAGCUUCCCCUAGGUCCUUCAUAGAGAAACUUUUAUUCAAGUAACCUUUUAUGCUCUCCAAAAGCUCUACGUUGUUUCCAAUCAGUAAUAUGUCAUCCACAUAUAAUAUUAGAAACGCCACAGAGCUCCCACUCACUUUCUUGUAAAUACAAGAUUCUCCAACUACUUGUAUAAACCCAAAUGCUUUGAUCACCUCAUCAAAGCGUUUGUUCCAACUCCGAGAUGCUUGCACCAGUCCAUAAAUGGAUCGUUGGAGCUUGCACACCUUGUCAGCAUUUUUAGGAUCGACAAAACCUUCGGGUUGCAUCAUAUACAACUCUUCCUUAAGGAAACCGUUAAGGAACGCCGUUUUGACAUCCAUCUGCCAGAUUUCAUAAUCGAAAAAUGCAGCUAUUGCUAACAUGAUUCUGACGGACUUAAGCAUCGCUACGGGGGAGAAAGUCUCAUCGUAGUCAAUUCCUGGAACUUGUGAAAAACCCUUUGCCACAAGUCGAGCUUUAUAAACGGUCACAUUACCGUCAGCGUCCGUCUUCUUCUUAAAGAUCCAUUUGUUCUGAAUAGCCUUGCGGCCCUCAGGCAGUAUCUCCAAAGUCCACACUUUGUUCUCAUACAUGGAUCCUAUCUCGGAUUUCAUGGCUUCUAGCCAUUUGUUGGAAACUGGGCCCACCAUUGCUUCUUCAUAAUUUGCAGGUUCAUUGUUGUCUAACAACAUGAUUGAUAAGACGGGAUUACCGUACCACUCUGGAGCAGCGCGUGAUCUCGUCGACCUGCGUGGUUCAACAGAAACUUGAACUGGAGUUUCAUGAUCAUCAUCAUUAACUUCCUCCUCAACCGGCGUCGCAAUGACAGAGGUUUCCCCUUGCCCUGCGCCACCAUCCAGAGGGAUGAGAGGUUCGACAACCUCGUCAAGUUCUAUCUUCCUCCCACUCAAUUCUCUCGAGAGAAACUCCUUCUCGAGAAAAGUUCCGUUCUUAGCAACAAACACUUUGCCCUCGGAUUUGAGAUAGAAGGUGUACCCAACUGUCUCUUUUGGGUAACCUAUGAAGACACAUUUUUCCGCUUUGGGUUCCAGCUUUUCAGGCUGAAGCUUUUUGACAUAAGCAUCACAUCCCCAAACUUUAAGAAACGACAAUUUUGGUCUUUUGCCAUACCACAGUUCGUAUGGUGUCGUCUCAACGGAUUUUGAUGGUGCCCUAUUUAAAGUGAAUGCAGCUGUUUCUAAUGCAUAGCCCCAAAAUGAUAACGACAAAUCAGUAAGAGACAUCAUAGAUCGCACCAUCUCUAACAAGUACGAUUACGACGUUCGGACACACCAUUACGCUGUGGUGUUCCAGGCGGUGUUAACUGCGAAACAAUUCCACAUUGUCUUAAGUGAGUACCAAACUCGAAACUCAGAUAUUCACCCCCACAAUCAGACCGUAGGAACUUGAUCUUCUUGUUACGAUGAUUUUCCACUUCACUCUGAAAUUGCUUGAACUUUUCAAAUGUUUCAGACUUGUGCUUCAUCAAGUAGACAUAACCAUAUCUGCUUAAAUCGUCAGUGAAGGUGAGAAAAUAACGAUAUCCGCCGCGUGCCUCCACGCUCAUCGGACCACACACAUCGGUAUGUAUGAUUUCCAACAAGUCACUUGCACGCUCCAUUGUUCCGGAGAACGGAGUUUUAGUCAUCUUGCCCAUGAGGCAUGGUUCGCACGUGUCAAGUGAAUCAAAGUCAAGUGACUCCAAAAGUCCAUCGGCAUGGAGUUUCUUCAUGCGCUUUACACCAAUAUGACCUAAGCGGCAGUGCCACAAGAAUAUGGCGCUAUCAUUGUUUACUCUAACUCUUUUGGUCUCAAUGUUAUGUAUAUGCGUAUCGCUAUCGAGAUUCAAUAUGAACAAUCCUCUCACAUUUGGUGCAUGACCAUAAAAGAUGUUACUCAUAGAAAUAGAACAACCAUUAUUCUCAGACUUAAAAGAGUAACCGUCUCGCAAUAAAAAAGAUCCAGAUAUAAUGUUCAUGCUCAACGCAGGCACUAAAUAACAAUGAUUUAAGUUGAUCACUAAUCCCGAUGGUAGUUGAAGUUACACGGUGCCGACGGCGAUUGCAUCAACCUUGGAACCGUUUCCUACGCGCAUCGUCACUUCGUCUUUCGCCAGCCUUCGUCUAUUCCGCAGUUCCUGUUUUGAGUUGCAAAUGUGAGCAACAGAACCGGUAUCGAAUACCCAGGCACUACUACGAGAGCUGGUUAAGUACACAUCAAUAACAUGUAUAUCAAAUAUACCUGAUUUUUCUUUGCCCGCCUUCUUAUCUGCCAGAUACUUGGGGCAAUUGCGCUUCCAGUGACCCAUACCCUUGCAAUAGAAGCACUCUGUUUCAGGCUUAGGUCCAGCCUUGGGUUUCUUCGGCGGAUUGGCAACAGGCUUGCCGCUCUUCUUCGAAUUGCCCUUCUUGCCUUUGCCGUUUCUCUUGAAACUAGUGGUCUUGCUCACCAUCAACACUUAAUGCUCUUUACGGAGUUCAGACUCUGCGACUUUCAGCAUCGCAAACAACUCGCCGGGAGACUUGUUCAUCCCUUGCAUGUUGUAGUUCAACACAAAGCCUUUAUAGCUUGGCGGCAGUGAUUGGAGGAUUCUGUCAGUGAUAGCUUCUUGCGGGAGUUCAAUCCCCAGUUCAGCUAGACGGUUUGAGUACCCAGACAUUUUGAGCACAUGUUCACUGACAGACGAGUUUUCCUCCAUCUUGCAAGCAUAGAAUUUAUCGGAGGUCUCAUACCUCUCGAUCCGGGCGUUCUUCUGAAAAAUAAACUUCAACUCCUGGAACAUCUCAAAUGCUCCAUGACGCUCAAAGCGACGUUGAAGUCCCGGUUCUAAGCCAUACAAGACUGCACAUUGAACUAUUGAGUAGUCCUCCUUACGUGCUAACCAAGCGUUCUUAACAUCCUGAUCAGCCGUAGCGGGUGGUUCAUCUCCUAGCGCAGCAUUAAGGACAUAAUCCUUCUUUCCAGCUUGUAAGAUUAGCUUAAGAUUACGAGCCCAGUCUACAAAGUUGCUUCCAUCAUCUUUCAACUUAGCUUUCUCUAGGAACGUAUUAAAAUUCAGGAUGACACUUGCGUGAGCCAUGAUCUACAACGCAAAUAUAUUCAAAGUGGACUUAGACUAUGUUCAAGAUAAUUAGAGUUCAACUUAAUCAAAUUAUAUGCUAAACUCCCACUCAAAAAGUACAUCUCUCUAGUCAUUUGAGUGGUUCAUGAUCCAGUUACACUAUCCCAAGUCCGAUCAUCACGUGAGUUGAGAAUAGUUUCAGUGGUAAGCAUCCCUAUGCUAAUCAUAUCGACUAUAUGAUUCAUGAUCGACCUUUCGGUCUCAUGUGUUCCGAGGCCAUGUCUGCACAUGCUAGGCUCGUCAAGCUUAACCCGAGUGUUCCGCGUGCGCAACUGUUUUGCACCCGUUGUAUGUGAACGUUGAGUCUAUCACACCCGAUCAUCACGUGGUGUCUCGAAACGACGAACUGUAGCAACGGUGCACAGUCGGGGAGAACACAAUUUCGUCUUGAAAUUUUAGUGAGAGAUCACCUCAUAAUGCUACCGCCGUUCUAAGCAAAACAAGGUGCAUAAAAGGAUUAACAUCACAUGCAAUUCAUAAGUGACAUGAUAUGGCCAUCAUCACGUGCUUCUUGAUCUCCAUCACCAAAGCACCGGCACGAUCUUCUUGUCACCGGCGCCACACCAUGAUCUCCAUCAACGUGUCGCCAUCGGGGUUGUCGUGCUACUUAUGCUAUCACUACUAAAGCUACAUCCUAGCAAAAUAGUAAACGCAUCUGCAAGCACAUAUGUUAGUAUAAAGACAACCCUAUGGCUCCUGCCGGUUGCCGUACCAUCGACGUGCAAGUCGAUAUUUAUAUUACAACAUGAUCAUCUCAUACAUCCAAUAUAUCACAUCACAUCAUUGGCCAUAUCACAUCACAAUCAUACCCUGCAAAAACAAGUUAGACGUCCUCUAAUUUUGUUCUUGCAUGUUUUACGUGGUGACCAAGGGUAUCUAGUAGGAUCGCAUCUUACUUACGCAAACACCACAACGGAGAUAUAUGAAUUGCUAUUUAACCUCAUCCAAGGACCUCCUCGGUCAUAUCCGAUUCAACUAAAGUUGGAGAAACCAUCACUUGCCAGUCAUCUUUGAGCAAAGGGGGUUACUCGUAACGAUGAAACCAGUCUCUCGUAAGCGUACGAGUAAUGUCGGUCCAAGCCGCUUCAAUCCAACAAUACCGCGGAAUCAAGAAAAGACUAAGGAGGGCAGCAAAACGCACAUCACCGCCCACAAAACCUUUUGUGUUCUACUCGAGAAGACAUCUACGCAUGAACCUAGCUCAUGAUGCCACUGUUGGGGAACGUCGCAUGGGAAACAAAAAUUUUCCUACGCGCACGAAGACCUAUCAUGGUGAUGUCCAUCUACGAGAGGGGAUGAGUGAUCUACGUACCCUUGUAGAUCGUACAGCAGAAGCGUUAGAGAACGCGGUUGAUGUAGUGGAACGUCCUCACGUCCCUCGAUCCGCCCCGCGAACAAUCCCGCGAUCAGUCCCACGAUCUAGUACCGAACGGACGGCACCUCCGCGUUCAGCACACGUACAGCUCGACGAUGAUCUCGGCCUUCUUGAUCCAGCAAGAGAGACGGAGAGGUAGAAGAGUUCUCCGGCAGCGUGACGGCGCUCCGGAGGUUGGUGAUGAUCUUGUCUCAGCAGGGCUCCGCCCGAGCUCCGCAGAAACACGAUCUAGAGGAAAAACUAUGGAGGUAUGUGGUCGGGCAGCCGUGAGAAAGUCGUCUCAAAUCUGCCCUAAAAGCCCCAUAUAUAUAGGAGGAGGGAGGGGGACCUUGCCUUGGGGUCCAAGGGAUCCCCAAGGGGUCGGCCGAGCCAGGGGGGGGGGACUCUCCCCCCCACCCCCAAACCGAGUCCUACUUGGUUUGGUGGGAGGGAGUCCUUCCCCCUUCCCACCUCUCCCUCUUUUUUUUUUCUUUCCUUUGAUUUUUCUAUCUUGGCGCAUAGGGGAUUGGUGGGCUGUCCCACCAGCCCACUAAGGGCUGGUGUGACCCCCCCAAAUACCUAUGGGCUUCCCCGGAGUGGGUUGCCCCCCUCCGGUGAACUCCCGGAACCCAUUCGUCAUUCCCGGUACAUUCCCGGUAACUCCGAAAACCUUCCGGUAAUCAAAUGAGGUCAUCCUAUAUAUCAAUCUUCGUUUCCGGACCAUUCCGGAAACCCUCGUGACGUCGGUGAUCUCAUCCGGGACUCCGAACAACAUUCGGUAACCAACCAUAUAACUCAAAUACGCAUAAAACAACGUCGAACCUUAAGUGUGCAGACCCUGCGGGUUCGAGAACUAUGUAGACAUGACCCGAGAGACUCCUCGGUCAAUAUCCAAUAGCGGGACCUGGAUGCCCAUAUUGGAUCCUACAUAUUCUACGAAGAUCUUAUCGUUUGAACCUCAGUGCCAAGGAUUCGUAUAAUCCCGUAUGUCAUUCCCUUUGUCCUUCGGUAUGUUACUUGCCUGAGAUUCGAUCGUCAGUAUCCGCAUACCUAUUUCAAUCUCGAUUACCGGCAAGUCUCUUUUCUCGUUCCGUAAUACAAGAGCCCGCAACUUACACUAUGUUACAUUGCUUGCAAGGCUUGUGUGUGAUGUUGUAUUACCGAGUGGGCCCAGAGAUACCUCUCCGUCACACGGAGUGACAAAUCCGAGUCUUGAUCCAUACUAACUCAACUAACACCUUCGGAGAUACCUUUAGAGCAUCUUUAUAGUCACCCAGUUACGUUGCGACGUUUGAUACACACAAAGCAUACCUCCGGUGUCAGUGAGUUAUAUGAUCUCAUGGUCAUAGGAAUAAAUACUUGAUACGCAGAAAACAGUAGCAACAAAAUGACACGAUCAACAUGCUACGUCUAUUAGUUUGGGUCUAGUCCAUCACUUGAUUCUCCCAAUGACGUGAUCCAGUUAUCAAGCAACAACGCCUUGUUCAUAAUCAGGAGACACUGACUAUCAUUGAUCAACUGGCUAGCCAACUAGAGGCAUGCUAGGGACGGUGUUUUGUCUAUGUAUCCACACAUGUAAAUGAGUCUUCAUUCAAUACAAUUAUAGCAUGGAUAAUAAACUAUUAUCUUGAUACAGGAAUUAUAAUAAUAACUAUACAUUUAUUAUUGCCUCUAGGGCAUAAUUCCAACAGUCUCCCACUUGCACUAGAGUCAAUAAUCUAGUUCACAUCACCAUGUGAUUCCAACGAAUCCAACACCCAUAUAGUUAUGGGGUCUGAUCACGUCUUGCUCGUGAGAGAGGUUUUAGUCAACGGUUCUGAAACUUUCAGAUCCGUGCGUUCUUUACAAAUAUUUAUGUCAUCUUAUAGAUGCUGCUACUACGUGCUAUUCGGAAAUGCUCCAAACAUCUACUCUACUAUACGAAUCCGUUUCACUACUCAUAGUUAUCCGGAUUAGUGUCAAAGCUUGCAUUGACGUAACCCUUUACGACAAACUCUUUAACCACCUCCAUAAUCGAGAAAAAUUCCUUAGUCCAUUAGUUACUAAGGAUAAAUUUCGACCGCUGCUAGUGAUUCAAUCAUGGAUCACUCUCUGUACCUCUCAACAGACUUUGAGUCAAGGCACACAUCAGGUGCGGUACACAGCAUGGCAUUCUUUAGAUUCUACGGCUAAGGCAUAGAAGACGACCUUCGUCUAUUCUCUUUAUUCUGCCGUGGUCGGGUUUUGAGUCUUACUCAAAUUCACACCUUACAAUGCAACCAAGAACUCCUUCUUUACUGAUCUAUUUUGAACACCUUCAAAAACUUGUCAAGGCAUGCAUCUUGUUGAAACUUCUAUUAAGCGCUUUUGAUCUAUCUCCAUAGAUCUUUGAUGCUCAACGUUCAAGUAGCGUAAUCCAGGUACUCCUUUGAAAACUUCUUUCAAACAACCUUGUAUGCUUUACAGAAAUUCUACAUUACUUCUGAUCCACAAUAUGUCAACCACAUAUACCUAUCAGAAAUUCUAUAGUGCUCCCACUCACUUCUUUGGAAAUACAAGUUUCUCAUAAACCUUGUACAAACCCAAAAUCUUUGAUCAUCUCAUCAAAGUAUACAUAUUCCAACUCCGAGAUGCUUGCACCAGUCCAUUGAAGGAUCGCUGGAACUUGCAUACUUGCUAGUAUCUUUAGGAUCGACAAAACCUCCUGGUUGUAUCACAUACAAUGUUUGCUCAGGGAAACCGUCGAGGAAACAAUGUUUUGACAUCCUACGUGCAAUAUUUCAUAAAUAAUGCAUCAACAACUAACAUAAUUCUAACAGACCUUUAGCAUCGCUACGAGUGAGAAAGUCUCAUCAUAGUCAACCAUUUGAUCUUGUCGAAAACAUCUUUGCGACAAGUCGAGCUUUUCUUAAUAGUGACUUAUCACCAUCAUCGUCUGUUUUCCUUUAAAGAUCCAUCUUUAUGGCUAUGUUACUGCUUGCUUAACCCUGUUGUUAGCGUUGCUAGUUGCAGGUGUAGUUGCUUCCAUGUGAUAACAUGGGUUCCUUGUCUUAUCACCAUAUUGAUGCUAUUUAAUUUAAUGCACCUAUACACUUGGUAAAAGGUGGAAGGAUCGGCCUUUCUACCCUGGUGAUUUGUUCGACCUUUGACCCCUUAGUUUUCGGCUACCGGUGUUAUGUUCCAUAAAUGAGCGCUCCUAACACGAUCGGGGUUAUUAUGGGGACCCCCUUGAUAAUUCGUUUUAGAUUAAAGCUGGUCUGGCAAGGCCCAACUUUGGUACUACAUUUGCCUAACAACUUAUGAACUGCAUAGGGAGUAAUUAACCCGAAGAAAUUUAAUCAACCCCCGGGCCAGUGCUCCUCAUGAGUGUUGGACCUAAGUGGACAGACUGUGGGGCCACCACGGGUCAACUCGAGGUUUGGUACGUGUAGACUUUUCCAUCCGUCGUGUCCUGAGAACGAGAUACGCGGCUCCUAUCGGGAUCGUCGACACGUCGGGCGGCAUUGCUGGAUUAGUUUUACCUUUGAUGAGAUAUCUUGUGCAUCGAGAUUCCAGUGCUGCUUUGGGUAAUCUCAGAGUUGAGGUUUUCCACUAGGGAAUCCGACGAGAUCGCGAGCUUCGUGAUUGAGGAUUUCUAUGCGGCUUGUGGUAAUUUGUGAUGGACUAGUUGGAGCACCCGUGCAGGGUUAAAUCUUUUCGGAAAGUCGUGCCUGCGGUUAUGUGGCAACGUGGAAGCUUUGUUUAACACUCGUUCUAAAUAACUUGAAGUUAAAUUUUAUUAAAACUUGCCAACUGUGUGCGUAACCGUGACUGUCUCUUUCGUGAGUUCCUUCUCCGAUCGAGGACACGGUGGGGUUAUGUCUGGCGUAGGUAGGUGUUCAGGAUCAUUCAUUUGAUCAUAAGUAGUUCACGCCCGCUAUGCUUAGAUCUUCCCCCUCUUAUUUCUUGUACUCGUAAGUUAUAUAUCGGAGAGUAGGAUUAUUUUUUCUCCUCUUCUAUACUCUGGUGAGGAAUCUUGACGUAAUAAUUUAUUUUACUCCUCUUCUCACUCAAAUUUUUUUUAGGAUUACGCGGAUAUUUUUGGAAUCUAUAUGAUGGCGAUGUGACGGAGUUCUGUCUUGGUGCCUCCUGUCUGAUUUGAUUUUCUUCCGGGGAGUUGAGCUCGAGGGGGUUCUCGAGCACAUCAUUAUCAUUCAGAUUUCUUAGUAUCUCAGAACGAAGGAUGUUCGUAAUUGCUUCAAUACUAGUAGUGGCGAGAUAACCCCAAUGUCCCCAGUACUGGUGAAGAUUGUUCGGGAGUACUGCCAUACUUUGUAUCAUUGUGAUCACGAGGGUCUGUUGUAGAUGAAGGUCCGAGAUUCUGGCCGUGUGUUGACGGAUGUGAUACAGGUGACGGGUUAGUAUAGGAGUUGUGUGAUUAUUACUCCUUGUAUCCAUGUACCAGAUUGCAUGGCCAGAUAUUUCGGGAAUUCUUAGGUGGGAAUUCAAGUAGUUGCUUAUAGGACAAUCUUCCAACAAAUGCAUGAUGUUAGGUUGGGGUUCGACAUCUAGUGGAUUCGUUUGUUGACUGUCGACUUACAGUGGUACACGUUGUGUCUUAAAUAGUCCUUGUAGCUUGCUACGACUUGGGGACGCUUCGUAUGUCGGGUGCAUUUCCUUGCACUUGAUGGCUACUGUAAAAUCGAGCCCGUGCGAUCCUGUCCACGAAAAUAUCGCACGAAAUCUUUCUCACGAGUUUGUUCUCGCUUGUUUCAUAAGCCUCAUCCCUUUGUUUUGCUGAAUAUGGUAAUUCGUGUUGCUUCGAUGUAAAGUGGUGAUUUCAGAUCUUUCCUAAGAGGUGUUCUCAUAUUUUUAUGUGAGAAUGCAAAUUCUUUUGUUCAUUCAAAUUGCCUUAUCAGUUCUGUCAUCCGUAGUCGUCAUGUCAAUUCUUUGUAACCGGUGUGCCUCUAUUCAACUGAAUUCUAUCCUCUCCAAUUUUGCAAGAUCAUUCUCUCAAUUCUUUUCGGAGUUCAUCUCAUUUGUCUCAAGUUGUAUUUGUUUUUCCCCACCCUCCCGCCCUUUUUUUCUCAGUGAUUCAAUUUUCAUCCAGGAGUUUCUUUUCAUUGUGCUUCCGCUGUCUGUUCUUUUCUCUCUUACCUGGUGAUUCAUUGUGAAGAUUCUCACGAGAUUCGUGUCAUAUUUGUUCAUUCUUGUCAUCCUUACCGGUGAAUUUAAUUCAGUAUCCCUGUCAUCAUGUCCUUUUCAUCCUUGUUAAUUCUUUCCUAUAUUGGAAACUCUUAUGAGCCUAUCUUGUUACUAAUUCCUCUCUCUUUCUAUCCGGAGUGUUAAAGAUAUUUCAGAUGUUCUGGUUUUCAAUCCUUCAGUUAUUUCGAGGUGCUAACCUCAUCUAGUAUUCUUGUACCGGUGCAAUAUCUCUCUUCUAAGCAAUCUUUUCUAACGGUGGCUUCUUUGAGUUGGCCCAUAACCCACAGGCUUUCCCAGGAUCUUUCCUGGCUCUUUUAAUCUUUUCCAGGAGAUCUCUAAAUCUUUUCAACUAUGACGUAAGUAUGAAUUUCAUCAGUCAUAGUCCUUCUUCAAGGCCUAUUUGAAUUAAUUCUCAUAUUGGCUCAAAAUUUCAUUCAUCUCUAUUCCGGAGUAUCUCAGUUAUUCUUGGUGGUGUUCUCCUCAUCAUUUCAGCUUUGAAGACCGAAGGAGUGUUUCUCCCAAAUCUUUGUCAUUCAAUUGUAGAUUCAUCAUUUCAGCUUUGUGCCAUCAUCGUAAUUGUUGUCAAUCAUGAGUAUCCCUUUCUGGCUAUCCGGUGCAUUUCUGAGUCGUUUUUAUUCUCGAUCCUCCGAAGGCCAUCAUUUUAGAAGAUUCUUCGUUCUCAACUUUUAGCUUUCAUCCUCAAUUCUUCUCCAUUGUUGUCUCUUCGUUCGUCUCUCGAUUAUCCGGUGCCUUGUUCUAGUUUCUCUUAGGUGGCUCAUGAUCUCUUCAUUCUCGUGUAUUUCCAUUAAUUCUUGGUUUUCCCAUUCAAUUGUGAAUUCUUACCAGUGCGUCCUUCAAUCAUGCCUCAAGUGGUGCUUAUCUCUCUGCCUCUUCAAGAUUCAUUUCUAGUAGAAUAAGUGAUAUGCUAAAUCUGUUGCUUGUCAUCAAUUUAACUUGAUGAAGGAUUAGCAUAACAUAAUUCUUAUUCUUGUUUCAUCAAAUGAUUUCAAUUCUUCUUCCUGAGUGGCUCAUGAUAUCAAUUCCUUUUUCUCAACUGUUAUUAUCUUUUCUUUUCCGGAGUUCCAAGUUUUCUCAAGAAUCUCUUUGUGAGGCUUCAUCUAAAUCUUGGCAAGGUCAUAAUCUUAUUGUUUUCUACCUUGAUAUCUUUGCAUCAUUCAUUCGUAUACGGAGGUCCUUCUUGGUGGUUCAUCAAGGUUUGAAUCCAUUCUCAUGUGUUCUUCAAUAUUCUUGUUGGAGAACCUCAAGUAUCCUUUCCCUUGCAUUUCCAAUGCGUUUGUUCUCCUUUAUCCUUUGAGGUGGUAUUAUAGCAUUCUUGUUAGUGUAGGAGCCUCGAAGAGUUUUCCUUUCAGGAAUGAGAUAAUUAUAUCCACCAAUCCUUUGAUCAUGAGAUUAUUAUUAACUCAUGGUUUCUUCAUUGAGCUAUCUUGGUUUGGAUUUCACCUAAAGCUUUUCCUAUGGAUUGUUGCUAUCAUGGUGCUUGUCUUUAAUCCAAGUUCUCAAUGCACCCUCGGUGUAAGAAGUUUUGAUAUCUUUGCUUUCAACUAUCCUUGUUUCUUUUAGUGGUUGGUUGUUACCUCAUAUAUGUUGAGAUGAUCUUCAUAAGCCCACUACUGUCUUCUUCUUCGUUGUUGAUUUUCCAACUACUCCGUCAAUUCUCUGUCAGGAGGCUCUUCAAUUCUAUUGUGAUGAUUGUUGUCAUUCUUUUCUUCAUUCUCUCCUUCCGUAUGAGCUAUGCCAUAUUCUCUUGUUCCGGAGGCAUUGUGAUGUUGCUCUUUUGGGUCAAUCUUGUUGUUCUAUCAAGACCAUGGUGUUCCCUUGCUCUAUUUUGUUGUUUGUUAUGAAUAUUGUCUAAUUCUCUCUUCUUAUCGAAUUUUUUGUCCCAUUUUCCUACCGAAGUGUUGCCGAAAUUUUCCGCGAAUUCUUGCUUCUUUCUCAUAUCAUUCCUCAUCUCUUUGCAACUUUCAAGGAUUGUUGGUGUCACUCGUUUGUCAAAGAAGCGACUAAGUUUUGCCUCUUGUUCUUUCUCAUCCUCUCCCCCCUUUCAUUCUUGGAUCUCGGGGCGAGAUCCUCUUGUAGUGUACGAGAGUUGUGACAGCCCGAGACCGACGUUCCAGAAGAUUCCCCUUUAUUUCCGUUUCCGUCGUGUGGUUAUUUUAUUUCGUUUGUUGCAUCGUCAUGUAGUUUGCAUCAUGGCAUCAUGCAUGGUAUCAUGACAGCUGUGUUUUGUCGGUGUUGCUUGUUGCUCCGUGUUGUGGGGUGUUUUGCUUGUGAGUGCUUGUGAGUGCUUGUGAGUGUGGCGUUGUUCGAUGGCGUGAUGAGAGUGGGUGCUACAGAGCCGCUUCGAACCGUGUGACACCGUGGACCUAAAACCCUUCUCUCCUCUCUAUUCUAUUUUGGUGGUUGCGUAAAAGAUUUCGGUUUCAACCCCCUUUAAAAGUUCAUCUUCUUUUAAAAUCAUUUUAUUAAAUGUAGGGGCAACCCCUUGGGUUUCCUUUAUUUUUUUUCCUUUGGUUAUUUUCUAAAACAGUCUCACUUUCUCGUCUCCUUUAAAGACCUUUUAUUUUAUUCUUUAAAUAAAAGAGGUUUUAUUUUAUUCUCUUGUCAAAAGGGGUUUAGAUUUUAUUCUUUUGUGAAAGGGCUUUAUUUCAAUACUUAAAAAAAGGUUUCAUUUUUUAUUCGUUUAAAAAAAUGCCCAAAAACUAUUUCUUAUAGUUGGGGUAUAUUUUUUUCAAAGGAGUCAACAACAUUUAUUUUUUAUUUUUGUUUAAACCUAUUUAUUUUGUUUGGUUGAGUUUCUGUUUUUUUUAAAUAAAGCAAAAGAGAGAGGAGGAGGCCCACUUGGGCCGUAGCCCAGCUACCCCAACCCUAGCGACAGCCCGUUUUCCCCUCGUACUCCCGAGCGCCAUCAUCCUCGUCUCUCCCCUCCUCUCGUGCCUUCCUCCUCCCGCAGAGCUCUCCCCAGCACCGUCUCGUUCCCCAUCGUCGCUCGAUCCUCUCCUCCCCGAUCCCCAUGGCCUCGGUUCGCUAGCAGCUCCCCGACCGCCCGCCGGCAGCUCCCGCGCGCUGCCCUCGCUCGCGCCUGCCCGGUGCCCCGCGCCUCCCCGACGGCCUCCCCUGCAGCCCGUCGUGCUCCUCCCCUGCCAGCAUCGAGGCCCUCUGUGUGUCGUCCACGCCGGCGCCGUGCACCGCCGGCUUGCCUGCCCCUUGCCGGUUUGCCCUGCUGCCCGACCUCGCCCUUGCCGAGCAAGCCGCCGCCAGCCUCGCUGCGUCGCCGGGUGCUCGCCGUAGCUGCUGCUGCCGCUUGUUCCCCUUGCGUCGCCUGCCGUUGUUCUGCUUGCUGCUGCCUGGCGUGCUGCCGUCCCCCGCGAUCCCCUGUCGCUGUGCCGAGCCGCUGCAUGUGCCCGUUGCUGUGCCCGAUGUGCUGCUAUGCUGCCGAGGAAUGUGUAGCGCCUUGCUGCUGCUUGUCGUUGCCAAGCUGCCGCCGCUGUAGCUGUUGCUUGCUGCGUAGCUUGUUGCUGCCGUGCAUGCUAGGAUAGUUGCUAAGCUGCUGCUUGCCUGUAGGUGGUUGCUGCUUAGAUGCAGUUUUGUUGUAGCUUGUGUCGAUGUGUGACUGAUGGUUGUUGCUUGCUUGCUGCCCAUGCCGGCUAGUGCUUGUUGUUAGGCUGUAGUUAGUUGCUUGUUGAUGCUAGCUGCCGGUGCUUAUUGCUGUAGCUGCCAUAUAGGUUUAGUUGCUUGCUUGUCCUGCUUGCCGUGUUGUUUGCUCGUGCUGCCGCCUGCGUCGCCGCGUGCACCAUCCCCGUCGCCGUGGAUUGAGUUCACGAGUACCACGACGUCCUUGACGACUCCCGGAAACGAGUUCGACUACCGUCGCCGAAGACCGUGAACCACGACGCCAAGCGAACGACUACCAUUGACAAGACCGAGUACCUCGACUUCCACGACGACCACGACGUCCUCUACGAACCGAUCCGCUCCGAUAUGCACGCUUCAAAGGUAUACCGAUGAGACGUUGUCGUGAACGCGUGCAUGUGAUGUAUGAGAUGAAUGUAUGUUUGCACCGUAUGUUGGUCGUUGCACGUUGUCCCUCUUUUGUUGUGCCUCGACACAUGGGAACCCGGUAACCGGGAUCACCCCAUCUUUAUUUAGCGUUCCCGCACACGCUUCCUAUGCAUUGGCACGAUAUCUCAACGAGUUAUCGGAUAGGAACGUUGUCGUGGCAUCGUUUCCGUCUUGCCGCCAUGGUAUCCUUGGCUCGUCGUGGCGACACCUGUUUCUUUCUCUUCUUGCCCGUGAUGUUGAACUUGCAUGCAUGGCGCAUUUAUGGCAUGUUAUCAUGUGUUGCAUGCCUCUUGUGCCGUAGCUCCGUUCUAUGCUCUGCGUGUUAACGUCAUAUAGGAUCAUCGCUUCACCCGUUGCCAUGUUAACUACAAUUUAAUAUUGCCGUGUAAAUAACUGGGAGUGAACUAAAUAAUUAAUCAUGGAGUUUCGUCGAUAUGUAACUCAUUGCAUAUCGAGUUUCACUUAAUGUGUAGUGUUUGCAUGAGGUGAUUUGCCAUGCCAUCCCUUGCAUUUUAACCUGAUCAUGCAUCAUAGUAGGUUGUGCAUCUUGUGUCUUGCAUCGUGUGGUGAAUAUCGUGUGUUGAUUCUUGUUUCCGGUUUGCUUCGUUCCGAUAGAGUUCCGCAAGCGUGUCGGAAUGUGAGGACCUGUUCGACUACGUUAGUUCGACUGCUUCACGGAGUUGUUCUUCUUCCAAGCGGGAUCUCAGGCAAGAUGACCAUUUCCCCAGAUACCAUUACUAUCAUUGCCAUGCUAGUUUUACCGCUGCUAUCGUUUAUGUCUCGUUGCCUACCACAUGUUAAAUUUCAACCUCUCAACAAUGUCAUGAAAACCUUCAACCUGGUUAACCUAGCAAACCACUGAUUGGCUAUGUUACUGCUUGCUUAACCUUGUUGUUAGCGUUGCUAGUUGCAGGUGUAGUUGCUUCCACGUGAUAACAUGGGUUCCUUGUCUUAUCACCAUAUUAAUGCUAUUUAAUUUAAUGCACCUAUAUACUUGGUAAAAGGUGGAAGGCUCGGCCUUUCUAGCCUGGUGAUUUGUUCCACCUUUGCCCCCUUAGUUUUUGGCUACCGGUGUUAUGUUCCAUAAAUGAGCGCUCCUAACACGAUCGGGGUUGUUAUGGGGACCCCCUUGAUAAUUCGUUUUAUAUUAAAGCUAGUCUGGCAAGACCCAACUUUGGUACUACAUUUGCCUAACAACUAAUGAACUGCAUAGGGAGUAAUUAACCCGAGGAAAUUUAAUCAACCCCCGAGCUAGUGCUCCUCAUGAGUGUUGGUCCAAAGUGGACAGACUGCGGGGCCACCACGGAGCAACUCGAGGUUUGGUACUUGUAGGCUUUUCCAUCCAUCGUGUCCUGAGAACGAGAUACGCGGUUCCUAUCGGGAUCGUCGACACGUCGGGUAGCCUUGCUAGAUUAGUUUUACCUUUGACGAGAUAUCUUGUGCAUGGGGAUUCCGGUGAUGCUUUGGGUAAUCUCAGAGUUGAGGUUUUUCACUAGGGAAUCCGACGAGAUCGCGAGCUUCGUGAUUGAGGAUUUCUAUGCGGCUUGUGGUAAUUUGUGAUGGACUAGUUGGAGCACCCCUGCUGGGUUAAAUCUUUUCGGAAAGUCGUUCCCGUGGUUAUGUGGCAACGUGGAAGCUUUGUUUAACACUGGUUCUAGAUAACAUGAAGUUAAAUUUUAUUAAAACUUGCCAACUGUGUGCGUAACCGUGACUGUCUCUUUCGUGAGUUCCUUCUCCGUUCGAGGACACGGUGGGGUUAUGUCUGACGUAGGUAGGUGUUCAGGAUCAUUCAUUUGAUCAUCAAUAGUUCACGUCCGCUAUGCGUAGAUCUUCCCCCUAUUAUUUCUUGUACUCGUAAGUUGAGCCACCAAAUAUAUGCUUAGCCGCUGUUGCAACCUCACCACUUAACCUUACUUCACCCAUUAAGCUUUGCUAGUCUUGAUACCUUUGGAAAUGAGAUUGCUGAGUCCCCUGUGGCUCACAGAUUGCUACAACACCAGUUGCAGGUACAGUUUAAGGUUACUCGACGCGAGCGCGUUGAUUGUUCAUUUGGAGUUGCUUCUUCUUCUUCUUCUUCGUCGUCGAUCUAGGAUGGGUUCCAGGUCGAUCUAGGAUAAGGAUGGAUAUCGUUCUUCUUUUCUCGUUUAUUUUCGUCCGUAGUCGGACCCUGCUCUUACUCUUGAUGAUUAUGUAAUGUACUGAUGUGACUCUGAUGUAGCUUGUGGCGAGUGUAAGCCAAUUCUAUUAUAUAUCUCUUCUUUUCAAUACAUGUACUUGUAACGAUAUCCAUUCUUGCGACACGACGAGAUGCGCUUCUAUCCCUGACGAGGCCCCCGUGCCAAAUUGAGGAUAGGGUUGCAUCUUGGACAUGACAUGUUGUCACUUGAUAACUGGAUCACAUCAUUAGGAGAAUGAUGUGAUGGACAAGACCCAAAUUAUAAACGUAGCAUGUGAUCGUGUUAUUCUGUUGCUAUUGUUUUCUGCAUGUCACAUAUUCAUUCCUAUGACCAUGAGAUAAUGUAACUCACUGACACCGGAGUAAUACCUUGUGUGCAUCAAACGUCACAACCUUACUGGAUGACUAUAAAGGUGCUCUAUAGGUAUCUUCGAAGGUGUCAGUUGAGUUAGCAUGGAUUAAGACUGAGAUUUAUCACUCCGUGUGACGGAGAGGUAUCUCGGGGGCCACUCGAUAAUACAACAUCACAUACAAGCCUUACAAGCAAUGUGACUCAAGUGUAAGUCACGGGAUCUUGUAUUACGGAACGAGUAAAGAGACUUGCCGGUAACGAGAUUGAAAUAGGUAUAGAGAUACCGACGAUCAAAUCUCGGGCAAGUAACAUACCGGUGACAUUUUAGUAUAGUUAAGUUAUAUGAGUUGGUGAUCGAAGGUUGUUCGGAGUCCCGGAUGAGAUCACGGACGUCACGAGGGUUUCCGGAAUGGUCCAAAAACGAAGAUUGAUAUAUAGGAUGGUUUCAUUUGGUCACCGGAAAGAUUUCGGGCAUUACCAACACUGUACCGGGAGUGACGAAUGGGUUCCGGAUAUUCACCGGGAGGGGCCCACCCACCCAGGGGUGAGCCCAGUAACCCUAGGGUCACGCACCAGCCCUUAGUGGGCUGGUGAGGCCAGCCCAAGUGGGCUAUGGCGCCACAAGGAAAAAAACCAAAAGAAAGAAAAAAAAGGAAAGAGGAAGGUGGGAAGGAAGGAGUGGACUCCUUCCCCCAAACCGAAUUGGGGUGGGAGUCUACCUCCUCCUCUCGGCCGGCGCCCUUGGGGCUCCCUUGAACUCCAAGGCUAGCCCCUCCCCUCCUCCUAUAUAUAUUCGUGAUUUUAGGGCUUUUGAGACACAACUUUGCCACGUGCAACUCAAACCUAUACCAUGUAAUUCUUCCUCUGGAUUAGAAUUUUGCGGAGCUCGGGCGAAGCCCUGCAGGAAUAGAUCAUCACCAACACCGGCGCGCCGUCACGCUGCCGGAGAACUCAUCUGCUUCCCCGUCUCUCUUGCUGGAUCAAGAAGGCGGAGAUCGUCAUCGAGCUGUACAUGUGCUGAACGCGAAGGUGUCGUCCUUUCGGUACCAAAUCGGGACGGAUCAUGGGACGACGGUGAUUUGAAUCACGAAGCUGUAUCACUACAUCAACCGCGUUUCUUAAUGCCUCCCGCUUAGCGGUCUACAAGGGUAUGUUGAUCCGAUCUCCCUCUCGUAGAUGAACAUCGCCAUGAUAGGUCUUCGUGCGCGUAAGAAUUUUUUUUUCCCAUGCAACGUUUCCCCAACGGUGGCAUCAUGAGCUAGGUUCAUGCAUAGAUGUAAUCUCGAGUAGAACACAAAAGUUUUUAUGGGCGUUGAUGUUCGAUUUGCUGUCCUCCUUAUUUUUUUCUCGAUUUGACGGUAUUGUUUGAUUGAAGCGGACCGGACCGGCAUUACUCGUACGCUUAAGAGCACUUCCUGUAUAUGUGUCGCAUGUAGACGGCCAAGCCUACGUGGCAUACGUCCUCAAUAUGUUUUCUCGUUCUUUUCGAUCUUCAAGAAAUGUGCGUGGUGGGGAAUUCGUACUCCUAACCUCAUGAUUUACUUCUAUUUCUAAUAAACAGCUGAGAUAGGUUACUUCUUGUGCCCACUUGCUUUCUUUUACACUUUUUAUGUGGCAAAUAUAACUUGUGAACUUUCAGGCUGAGUUUUUUCUUCAUGUUUUUUUAACCGGGGUUUGUUGUGUUUUACUCUGGGUUUUUUUCAAAUAUGUGAACUUCUCAGAAUAUAUUUUUUUCAAAUUUCUGAUAUUUUUCUCAAAUUUGUGAACCUCUUCAACUUUUGGAGCUAUUUUUGCUACUAUUCUUGUGAAAAAAAAAUUACUCAUUUUUUUUCAAAACCAUGAAAGUAAUUUUUUCAGAAAUCGAUGAACUUUUUUGAAAUCCGUGAGCACUUGCGACAGCCCAACAGACGCCCGAUGGGACGAUAACAUCACCUAGUUCGGCCAAGGACUAAGCGUAAUUUUCUAUUCUACUUUUUUUGUAUUUCUUAUCUUUUUUCGUUAAUUUAUUCUUCUCCUUUCUGAACUUUAUUCUUCUUCUUGAAACAUGUUCAAAAAAUUGAAUGUUGGAAUACCCAAAAAUGUUCUCAUUUUCAAAUGUUGUUUACAAUUUUAGAAAAUGUUCUAGAAUUUCAAUAAAUAUUUGGGUUUCAAAAUAAGUUGAUAUUUUUAUAAUUACAUGGUUUGCGAUUUGUCCUAAAAAAAUUCAUGAAUUGUGGUGAAUUUGUUAACAAUUUUGAAAAAAGUUUCAAAUUUUUAUAAAAAAAAUCAGAAACAAUUUGCAAUUUGAAAAAUGUUUAAAAAAUUCAAGAAAUUGUUAAGACAUAAGAAAAUUUCAUGUUGAUUGAUAAUGACGGAAAACUGCAAAUAACAGAAGCAUUCUAAUUGGGAGGAAAUACAUGCUCUCAUGGAUGCAUUCAUGGGACCUGGUGGGCCACUUUUCUCUCAACUCAACUUCAGGCACCAUUUGCGCGUUGCAACACGUACGACCAUUUGUCGGUCAUUUUCAUCAUGAAAGCUCCAGAAAAUGCAUAAUUAGAUGAAAAUUCAAAAAAAUAUGUAAUUCAUAUAAGUUGGUGUAAAUUUUUUGGGGCAGUUUGAUGGAUGUUGAAAAACAACGUGCUUUCUAAUGUGGACCUUCCUUGCCCUAGCAAAACACCAUUUAUUGUACAUGGUCUAUUUUUAGACAUCCUUAAAAUAACCCCAACUUUAGUCCAUGGCCAUGUUAGGUAUCCAGUCCUGGUCUGGACGACUUUUGACAUUGUAUACAAGUUGCGAAACGUCCGAUCAUUUAUCGACAUUUUAAACCAAGAAAACUCGAGGAAAUACAAAAAAGUUUGAAAACACAAACAACUUGGCAUGGUGCUUAGAAUUGGUCAAUCAAGACUGUGAAAAAAACUGGAGCAAUUUCAAGGAUAUCAAAAAACGUAGUGCUCAAGGAUGGAGCCUUUUAUCAUACUCGGACACCCUACGUUCAAGAUGGUCUAUUUCUUGACAUCCUUGCAAUGAUCCCAACUUUUACCAACAUGUGGACAUGCCUAUGAUAGACAUCCAUGCCAGGUUUAAAGAAAAAAAUAUUUAAAAUCAUAAUUUAAAUAUGUACUUAAAAUGUUAUUUUCAGUUUUGAACAUAACUAACUAAUAAGGGAUAAAUUCACAAUUUAAGUUUUUUUAAAAGACCAUUUGAUAAUUUGAAGGAAACAAGAAUUUAAAACCAUAAUUUAAAACAGUUAAUUAAAACAGUUAUUUUGGUAUUCCGAAAAAUUUGAACAGGUUUCAAAGAGAACAAAACAUUUCAAAAGGGAGAAAAAUGAAUUGACGAAAAAAACAAGAACACUGAGAAAAAUAGAAAAAAUAUGCUUAGGCCUUGGCCAAACUAGGCGAUGGCAUCGCACCCCUCGGGCGCCUGUUUGGCUGGCCCAAGCGAUCCUGGAUUUGAUAAAAGCUCAUUGAUUAAGUUCCUCAUUCAUUUCUUAACACAGCUCCAUACUUCUAAAGCGUAUAAGCUUAUUGCUGUAAUAAAUGGACAUCUCCAGUAAGAUAACUCAUAUGAGGCUUUCUCUGGACUUUAGCUAAUACAGAAACAAGUUGUAAAAAAAAACGUUCCGGUUUAGGGUACCUUAGCCUCCCAGCUAUUUUUUCCAGUUUUGGGAACCACACUUUUGUCUUUUUCUUUUCUUUUCUCCUUUCAUCUUCUCUCCUGUAUAUUCUUUAUGUUUCCUUUUCCUUUCCUUUUAUUUAUGUUCGACAUUUCCAAUUUUCUGUUUAAGUUUCCAUUUUUGAAAAGUUUUAAUAUUUCAGAAUUUCAAAUCUUUCUUUGGAAUUUUUAAAUGUUUCAUUUUUUAAAAUUUGUUCAUUCUUUACAAUUUGGUUUUCGUAUUUUCAAAACAAAAAUGUGCAAAAUUUCGUUUUUUAGAUUUAUUAAUCAAUGUUCAGAAUUUCCAUGUUUUGUUCAGGUUUAUUUUUUAUACUUACUAAUUAAUGUGACAAAAAAUGAUCACAAUUAAUAUAAAAGGUUCAUAAAUUCAAAAAAUUGUUCGCUGUCAAAUUCUGUUUAGGGUUUCAACAGGUGUUCUGAUUUUAAAAUUUGUUCACAAAUUCAAAAAAAAAGUUCACAAGUUUGUAUUUUUUUACAGUAAAAAUAAGACUAAGUUUGUGAUUUUGAAAAAGUUUGGAAUUUAUGAACCUUUGUGAAUCUAAGAAAAUGUUAUUGAAUUUGAAACAAUGGUCAAGAAUCUUCAAAGUUCAAAAUUUUAAGAUAAGUUGAUUAUUUUAAUAUUUUUUUGCGAAUUUUAGAAGGGAAAAAACAAAAAAAAGGAUGGGAAACAGAAAACAAAUAAAAAAACAGAAGAAGAAAUGAGCGUGGAAGGUUGUCGUGAUGAUAUUGGUGUUAGUUGAAGUGCAAGGACUAAAGAAUAAGGUGGGAUGAAAAACAAACGUGUACCAAAGCGGGCUCGUGAUGAUAUUGGUAUUAGUUGAAGUGCAAAGAGUAAAGAAUACGGUGGGAUGAAAAACUUGCCAAAGAGAAGACAAAAGAGUUAUCAGCGAAAAGAANNNNNNNNNNNNNNNNNNNNNNNNNNNNNNNNNNNNNNNNNNNNNNNNNNNNNNNNNNNNNNNNNNNNNNNNNNNNNNNNNNNNNNNNNNNNNNNNNNNNGUGGCUGAGGUGGUGUGGAGCUGGGUGAAAACCAUGUCUUGGCCUUGUGUCAUGACCAGCGAUGGCGGCGGCUGUGGCCGUCGUUGACCUUCAUGGAGACAUCAUUGCCUUGUUCUUCCAUCCCUCUUGCGUGGAUCUGGCCUUUUUAGGCCUCUCCGGGGGAGACCUUGCGGCGCCUUGGUGUCGUAUUCUCUCUUAGGGGCUUCGUCUUGGGAGCUUGGCAUCGGCGAACAAGACCGGUGGAUGACGGUUGGUGGUGAGUGUGGCGUCCAGGCUUCGGUGACAACGAUGAUGGUGGGAGUGAUGUCGGUGAUGCGGCAAUGGUUGUCGUAGUCGGCUCUUAUUCGACAUGUUCACGGUUUUGCCUCAGUUUGUUUGUUGCUUUGGAGUCAAAGCUGCUGCGGCGGGGUCCUGUGGUAUACGAUGACUAGCUGCAGGUAUCCCGUUCGACGAUCUCUCGUUGCACCAACCGUGCCUGGUUUUGUCCUACAGAGUUCUUCGUCAGAAGUAGAUAUUGCGUCGUCUCGUCGGAGGGGUUGAGAUUUUGGAACAGAUCUUCAUGCAGUUUCGCGUGUUCGUACAGUACGAGUUGAGUCGACUAUCGACUACGACGUAGUUGGAGUUGUCUGCUCAGAGUAUAGGGAUGACGAUGAGGCCUGCGUGCUGUCUUGCUAAGACCCUUUUUAAAGUGAUGCGCGUGAGCUUUUUUAUGUGUGACGCUCAACGGUUACAACGGUUUUUGUUUAGUUUUUCAUAAUUAGGUGAGCUAUUUGGUUUUCGCUUCGUUUUUCCAAUUAACCGAGCAAUUUUUUCCUUCUCAAUGAAUGCUGCCAUUUCGGAAAAAGAAAAAAGCAAACCAAUGGCGUUCCGAAGCAGUGCGCAUAAUCUGAACCCAUCUGGCAGUGCAGCGGCCAUCUCAAUUUCGAUGGGAAUUACCACGACAACGGAGCAAGUCAUUUAAACGCAUGAUGGGGACAAUAAUUCGGUGCUGCUCGUUACAUCAGCCUCAAGCUCGCUCAACUGCCGUAUUAACUCCUCGAUAGCGGUACGGCAUUCCGUGACGGAAAUGCAGACGCCACUGCUGCCUGCAGCCCUGCAGGAGAGAAGCAGUACGACUGAAGCUUGUGAGCCAUGACACAGGCCAACGUGGCCGAAAGCCUGAGCCACGCCCACGCUCUCUCUCUCUCUCUCUCUCGUUCUGCCGAGCAGUAAAAACUCCGGUGCAGAGCCACUCUACCAUGUGAGGAGCUCAGCUCCGCUCUGGAGCAGCGUGGAAGGGCCUCCUAUAAAACCCAUUUCCCUUCCACCGUCGCUGCACACAGACUGCACUGCGCCACCACCAUAUCCGAAAUAGCUCAGCUCAGCCUCAGCUGCACUUCCCACCGAGCUCGGCUGGACUGGUGACACGGUUACACACGCCAUGGCUCCCCUGCUCUUCAAGGACAUGAGGAGCCUCUCGUGCUC